RNAcentral lists this long non-coding RNA (74870 nucleotides) under Sorghum bicolor (sorghum). RNAcentral's name for it is "long non-coding RNA (SBIC_LNC017952)". The stretch from base 70216 to 70309 matches the Rfam family "MIR5387 microRNA precursor family". The record is from RNAcentral. Lineage: Eukaryota; Viridiplantae; Streptophyta; Magnoliopsida; Poales; Poaceae.
ACUGCAUUUUAAUAAACAUGAAAACAAAAUAAAAAGAGUGUGUAGAUAUGUGUGCUUUAUUUUUCUGCUAAGUUUAAUCUCUAGAAAAAAAAUAAAAAGACCAAAAAGAUGCAUGAUGGAAAUGAUGAACAGUUGCUCUGUUUGCUUACUUACAAGUACCUAGCUUUUAUAUUAGAAUUCUUCCAGGAAUUACUAAAACUAAAAUUACUAUCUUUGGGAAGCAUAAAACUAAAGUCUAGGUAAAAGAAAGGCAUGAUAUAAAGUUGAGCUGCUGUUUAUCUUGUUCCUACUACACUAAGUUCUGGAGAUUUAUUUUGAAAACUUACAAAUCACAUGAUGAGUUCCUAGCAUACAAAACUACCUACCACAGCCAUACUUGCUAUAACAUCUUUUACUAUAUUCACAUUGAGUUUGAUCGAGCUGUGUAGACCCUUAGGAGCUUUUCAUGUGGUUAAAUUAAGAUAUUCACUUGCACACAUCUACCACAGCAUCCAUCAUCAAUCAUUAAAAUUGCUAAAAAUAUUAUCACUCACUGUCCCGAAUAUUGUUAUUCUCUCUCUCUAAAAAGAUUCAAUGCAGAAGAGGCAUGGGUUAUGCAAAAAUAUACGAGGAAAUAAAAAAGGGGCAAGUGCCCGGAACCUCGAAAAAGAGAGAAAAGAAAGUGAGACGAGAGGUAAAAAUGGACAAGUGUCCGAAGUAGAAUUAGGGGUACAAAGAUGCCCACUUGAGCGGAAAAAAUGGACAAGUGUCCGAUAGUAGAAUUAGGGGUAUCUACUACCCACCUGAAAAAAAAGAGAGAAAAAAAGAUAGCCCAUGUUCUCCCAAAGCAAAGAUCAUAGAGGAGGAGAGAUAGCAAUAUGAGGAGCAAUGAGAACUAAGUUUUAUUAACACUUAUACAUUUUCACCAUCACUAUCAUUUACUCCAUCACACAUGCACAUCUUGAUUUAAUUAUAUGCUGAGUUCUUUUGGUUCCAUGGCUCGAUUAGACAACAUAUGUAUGAGCUGUUUUUCACUCCUAUGAGCUCCACAUAAAUAUUUCAUUAGCUAUAGGUAAGUGACAUUAUGGUAAAGAUCCACAAAUACCACAUAUAGAGAGACUUGAGAGAAUCAUUGCUGGGAACUCUGAGUUUUAUUUUGAAAACCUAUGAAAAACUCUAGAACAAAGGUGAAGUAUAAACAGGAGGGAUAGUGCUUGACUUAACUAUUUUGUCUUUCGAUUACUUAAGAUUUAAGUGCAGGUACUAAACUCCAUAACACUUCACUUUAAUCUGGAAGAAUUUUUAUGUAAAAGCAUGUGUGCCUGUCAGGAAAGAAAACAUCAAAGCAACUUCUGAUUCGUCUAAGUUUAGCUAUUUGCUUAGGGACGAGCAAAGGGUAAGCUUGGGGGAGUUUGUUGACGGUCCUUAAGUACUAAAAUCAAUAAUCAAAUAAACAUGAAAAAGGAUCAAUAUGAAACAAACAUCUAGAAUUAGGGUUUUAUCUGACAGAAUUCCACGAGCUUUGGUGUUUAUCUAUUUCUCCAGGGGGUUAUCAGAAAAUAUGGAGAGAAGGCCCACAUGUCAUGUUUACAACGAGAUAAUUACGUGCCGUGCAACGAAGGAGAGCACGAUCGGGCUCGGGGGCAGGGCGGCCACCCACCCCCCUUGGGCGCCCGCCCAGGGUUGGAGUCCAAUCAGGACUCUGCUUCGGGACUACGCUCCACCGACCUAAAGGAUCAAUCUAAACCAUACAAUCUAUAUCGGUUUGAUCCAAUGGCUCACGUUCACUUGAGGGGACUAUAAAACCAGACCCCCUGGCCCCUGGAGGAGAGAGGAUAAAUCAUUAUUCAGAGGUAGCCAUCAAAGUUAGGGUUUAGAGCUUCUCUCCCACAGAGAAUUAGAAUUAGCUACUCCCUAAUCCUUCAAGUUUAGAGGUUGAUUAGAUAGCAAUUAGAGAAGUAGAGCACUACGCUCUGGAUUCGGAUCUUCGGUAAUAAAGAUUGGUAUUAUUCAUAUCUUUCUCUAAUUCUUUGUUCUAAUUGCAUUAUGUCUCUAAUUAUUAUGUUCUUAGUUUGCUCUAGUUCUAUAUUUGAUAUAGUUUUAAUUGAUAAUGAGUUUAUGUAUAAGUUUGCAAAGCGCUUAGCUCUUGACGCGAGGGAGUUAGGUGAUAGAUCACAUGUGAGCGUGGUGCUUAGAUGUUAUUUAUCUGCAAAUGUAUCCUAUUGGCUGGGUCGUGUGGUAGUUCGCGAUAGUGACAGCUUCGUUGAAGUUCUUAUAUAGUCCACCCUCCGUUGAUAGGACAGGCAGAACCGGUAUUGUGGAGUAAGUCAUGCGAUGCUCUGAUUUACUUUAUCAAUGUUCCUUAUACAUGAAUGAAGAGUCUUUUAUGCUAUAUAUGAUCUUGUAGAUAACUAGAGUAGAUUAUGACUUAGUAGUUAGUAGAUAACUUAGAAUCCAUUCUCUAGCUAAUCCGACAUCACCUACAUAUAUGAGGAGUAGUCUAUUUUCUAAUCGCUGUGCUAUCUACCCAUGAACUUAUAAUUCAUUAUCAUUAUCUUUAUGGUUUACCCCCUGCUAAAGUAUGUGACUGUGUGACGAGUUUCUCAUUAGUAAUCAUGUUCUUGCAAGUUUAUCUCUAGUUUAUGCCUUGAUAGAUUCUGCCCCUUGAUUUAAUUUUAUUUUCUUGAGAUCCCUUGAGCAAAAUUAUAAAUAACGAUACCUGGAAUACUUAUCCUGGUGAAAUGCUACAAUGAGGUGUUUUAUCUGUGCGCUUGCGGAUAGAAUAGAUUAUUUUCUAGAGAGCCUUUACAUUUAUAAAUACCUUCGUACACUCUGGCGCCAUGCUAGGGAUGACAACCUAGUAUCUAAGUGGUGUUAGCUAGUGUCAACACACCCUUUGUGGUGUCUAGAUUCCGUAAGCCUCCCAAAUAGAACGGAAGAUCAUCCUUACCAAGGUUAGAACGAGAGUGCGGUUGUAGUCUUCUCUAUGCAUCGCUCACAUCGAAUCACAUUGUUUGUAGCCUAAAGGGUAGUAGCAAUAUAUUUGGUUAGUCAGAUGCACGCUUUCUCCCAGUGGUAAAAAUAUAAAUACGAUACUCUAGAUAAACUCUCGGGUGAAAUGCUCCCCAAUAUCCGUGCGCUUGCGGAUCAUUUCCUGAUGACAUUACCAAAUAUCAACAAGCAUUUCUAGCACCGUUGCCGGGGAGAAAGAUGGUUUGCUGAGAUAACUUUUAGUCUUGCUAUUAUCUUGUAUUAUACUUUUAUACUUUUAUUCUUUUAUCUUUUUAUUUUUUCCAUCUUUAUGGAUAACUCAAAUUCCACACCUAUUAUUGAAUUUUUUGCACCUUCGGAGACCAGCCAUAGACCAUGGGAGUCAACAAGUCCUUUCUUUGCCCCUAAUUAUGAUCUGUGUCCGGAGUUGAUUGCAAUAGGUCAAAACCAACCCUUUCCUAUAGCCGAGGUCCUAUCUUUUAAUCAAGAAGAUAAUGAACUUUUAGCUACACCUAGGGAAUCUUUUAAUCUUUCUAUAAAUUCUAGUUUAGACCUAGCCCUACAAGACCAUGUUUUUCCUCGAUAUUUUCACAUUGGUAUUGAUCAUAUAACCUUUGGUAGAGUUUUUCUUUCUUUAUCUGUUAGUAAAGCAACGUAUGUCUUCAUCCGUGGACAUCCUUCUUGCACUAGUCUUCAUAAAAAAUCCUAGAGAUAGAGAAGGAAUCAUCUCCUAGACGAGGAAAGGAAGUUUCAAUGGCCGAUUUCCGAACAUUUCAAUCCCAAGAUUCAGCUAUCCAACCCAAACUAGUAGUGCUAAAAAAUCAUCUAAGGGAAGAAGAAAUUCUACCUUUGGAAAUUCAUUUUGGGAUGAGCUUAAACUUCCUGCUUCAUAAGAGACCUUUGAGUGCAUAUAGUCUGAACCUUCCUAAGAAGGGAUCUCUUAGAAAGCAUCUCAAAUCCAAUCCCUUUGAUGGACAUCUAGAAAGACUCAAGGAUGGCAUCUUAAGUGAUACAAUAGAAGGAGAGCGAAGCCAUUUAGAAGACAAUCUCAUCUUCUCCCCUUCUACACCCACUUUUGAUGACUCAUUCGAACCUAUCUUUAAAUCCAUCCUUAAGCUUAAUAAUUUCUACUAUGCUCUUUCUCUUGAACCUCCCGAUGAUCCUAUGAAUCUCUCUAGACAUCCCAUGCAUAAGAGUCACCAAGACCACAAGGAGGAUCGAGAAGAGCAACAUCAAUGGCUAGAGGGCAUUAAAAAUCCAUGUGCUAUCACCAUUGAAUGGAUGGAUAAAACAAACUUGAGAGACAAUCCUAGAGGAAUUUUAAGCAUUUAUGAAGAAUCAUCCUUGGAUUUUGAGAAUGAGAGAAACAAUAGAGAGCAUGGAAGUUAUUUCAUAAAUACCUCACCAAGUCCUUGCUGAUAUAAAACAUCUCCCCAAUCAAUUGGUCUGUCCAACCUUACCACAUUUGAGAUCUCCAACCCCCUCUUCCUUUCUAUGUAUAAAAACUUUAAAGGGGUGGUUAUCGAUGCAUAUGUCUAUAAUAAAUAUUGCAGAUAUCGUUGAGUCGAUCUUGAUAUAGGCACGUUUAGGUUGGUGUUGGAGGGGAAACCACUUCACCAACAUAAUUUGAUGGUUUCCCAAGGACAAGCUUAGUGUCCUAAAACAAGCACUUAUCAGAUCGUAACAUGAACUUUUAAUUACUUGCAACAUUACCUUGUGUAUUGAGCAUAUAAGGAUAAUUGUAAAAAUAUUCCUUCGGGUAUUCGUGUCACUAACCUUUCUAGGAUUGGAGCAAGAAGAUCUGAGGAAUGACAAGCACAAGGUAUGCCCAACCAAUCAUCAUGCAACAUUGAAUUAAAUUCAUCCAAUCUUAAAUUUUGCAAAAUUCAAGCUUGGGGGAAAUACCUUACAUAAAAACAUCCUUUGCCAUGUUGCUAUGUUGGUUGUCCCUACCUUUGAGACAUGCUUAAUUGAUUAAAUACUAAUCACACUACUUCAUCUCCACUUGAGUAGAUCUCUAUAAGUGCCAUCACGCUACCUUUGUUUAUCCUAGUAAGUGUUAGUUUGGAAGUACUACACAUACUUCUAUUGGCUUUUAAAUUAAGCAUGGUGCUUAGGUUAAAUAGCCUUCCUUAAUCUGAUUAGACAUGGAGUCUAGUUCGGUUAUUGAACUAAAAAUUGUUUGUGUAGACAUUGGUAUAUUUUGUCGGACUAACCCCUGCAGGAAAACUUUCAAUAUCGAUUUGGGAAGUCCUGAGAUAAACUCACAUCAGAUAUAAAGAGAGAGACACAUGAAGUUUAACAAUUUGCACAAGAAGGACAUAGCUCAUUCAUCAUAGAGAGAUGAUCCACAGAAGGAGACAAAGUACAUAAACAAGAUACACAACCAUUACGAAUGGGAAGCUUCCACAAGGUGAGAUGGUACCAUCACUCUUCAAUUAAGGUAACAUCUUAAGAUAUGUGACUAUCACUUUUAUAAGCUUCUCCUUGGUUCUGGCGUUCACAUAAAAUAAAGAGACAAACAUGUAUGAUUUGUAACUCCAAAUUAACCAACCCAAUUAAUUCAACAUGUUUAGUCCUUUAAUAUUUGUUCUUAGUACUACCUUUGUGAUCCCACACUCCUAAUCAUAUAAGCUAAAAUGUUGCACAUUCAAUCUUUGGAAGAUAUAAACAAAACAUAAAUAUAGAUAGAUUAUCUUUCCAUUAGGUUGAGUAAUCUGAUCUGACAAAUGUUUCAAAUGCUUCACUCAUGAUCCAUCAACUUUGUCUUGCUCACUAUGCUUAAGGAUAGAGAAGAAUAAAUAUACUUUUGGUUUUGUUGGUAUUUUCCACCAACAGGACCCAUGCACUUGAUCUCUGCCUUGUCUCUAUGAGCAGGAUUGAUAUGACCACGCCACCAAGCAAGAUGUCACAAGCUCCAAGUCAAGCUACACCCACUCAAGUUUCACCUACACCGACACCAGCCCAAGUCAUCGAUGGACCGAUUACACAUAGUAGUGCAAAGAAGCUACAACAAGAGGUCCACGCGCUACUUUGUGAGAUUCAUUUUAACAUUAAUGAGAAUUAUAUACUACCUAAGUGUUGUACCUUGAUUGUACUCAGGUAUAUAGAAGAAGAGAAUGAUGAAUCGGACCCUGAAGAAUGAACCAGUGCAAGUUCCAGAAGAAGUCAAAAACGGACCAGUGGAAGUCAAAAACGGACUAGUGCAAAGAAAUCUUCAUAACUUUUAACUCACAAAAGCUAUGAAGGUCCAUGAGCACUAGUUGGAAAGCUUGACGAGUCUACUUUCCAAUGAAUCUAGUGGCGACCAGUUUGGAUACUCCAUAUUGCUUGUAGACCAGAAUUAGUACAGACUGCUCAGUAGGUCAACAGUCUGUCGUGACAGAAUGUUAGUACAACUUGCCAAGUACAACUGUACCAAUCUACGAUGUUUUGUACUGGUUGGCAUACAUUGCUGGAAAUCCCUUUGAGUCUAGUUUCACACCCAAGAAACGGUUCAUCAUUUGGACUUCCCAACAAAAAGUUAUGGUUAGUUUAUUGGAAACUGCUCUAGAGGCUAACAGUCACGCGAAGCCACUUCGGGAAUCCAUUUCGAGGGGACCUUUCACAUUGCCUUCCCUCAGAAACUCUAUUUUGUUUUCACACCUAUCUAGCAGGGCUGUUGCUAGUAUAAAUACCCCCUAAGACUCAUUGUAAUCUUAGACUUUUGAGAAUUGAAAUAUAGAACCCCUUUUGUUUAGCUGUGUGCUAGCAAAUAUUCAGAGAGUGAUCUCUACCCCUUUGCUCUUGUGAUUUCCUCACGGGAUUACAUAGGCAGCGGCUUCAUCCGCUCCCAAUUGGUGCUCCUACUCCCUUCAAGGUAUUCCUUGAUUGAUUGUAGGCUGUGUUGGUUGGUUCUUUGAGAGUGUGGUUGGGCGAAUCCUCGAUUUACGUUGCCGGUUAAAGACGGUGGUUGGCUUCGAGUUUUAUUUGCCAGGUUGCACUAGUUAUCGCUGCUUGCAGCAAGUUAUCCGGCUGUUCUUCAGCUAGUUAUCGGUGUUCUUCCUAUGUCGUGAAGAUCGGGACUACGUGUCGCAUCAUCUGGUAUCAAAGCUUUCGUUGCCACGGUAGGAAUUUUAUCCCUAGCUACAUAUAUAUUUUGCUUCGUCCUAUCCACCAAAAUGCCAGAAAAAUAUAUUGCUUAGACCUUUGUUUCAAUAUGUUAUUUUAGUGAGUUCGGUUAAGUCGCAGUCCAUUAGAGUCUUUGUUUUAGUUGCUGAUCAUUUAUCCUUCACGUAUUCUUUGUGCCUCUUUUAUAUCUAAAAAUCCCCACAAAAAAAUCUCUAUAGCCUAUAUCAUACUUUGUUUUAACUUUUAUCAUAUCUAGCUACUGGUUGUUGUUUUAUUUCUGUCUUUAGUUGUGUAAGUAUCAUAAUCUGAUCCCUGUUUUUUAGUUCUAUAUAUAAAAAAAAGUGUGUCAAAAAAAAGAAAAGAAAGUGCAAAAAAAAGUGAAGUGAAAAAAAAGUUGAGAAAGGUUCAGAGAGAAAGUCUGAAAGAUUAGUUGGUUUAUGUGCACAAGUGCUGAAAGUUUCAUAUCAAGUUCUGCAACCAGUUUGCUAUCUUUGUUUGGUGCAAAACUUUGGUUGGGUCUGAUUGCAACACUUGCAUCCCAAUCAUACUCCUUGUUUGCAUCAAUUCUGAAAUUUCUUUGCGUGUGUGUGAUCUAUGAGACGAUCUAGAUUUCCACGAAGGGAAAUCCCCAGAUUCGAAUUGUAAAACGAAUUAACGCGUGAUGGAGUCAAUUCGAAAUACCCGAAUUUCAGCUGUUAUACAAGUCAUACACGAACAAAGGAGAGUACAAGAGGGGUUUACUCAUUAUUACAUCGCCACUUGGCGGAAUCACACUCACACACACAGCAUGCGGAACAGCAUCGGGUAGAUAGCGAAGGCGCGAACUCCGGAUCCUCCAAACUUGAGCGUAGGAUGAGACACCUACUCCUCCCAAUCGUCGCCCGCGUAGUCGUACUCAGGCUCAGAACCUGCUGCCAAAGUAUCAGUACGAUUUGUACUGGCCACUGGCUCCCACCCUAUGCUUUUUGCGAAGCUUUGUGGUAGGUGGAAUGCAAGGGGAUGAAUCAAAAGACCUAAGAUAUGGCUGUAGUUUUCUAUGCGAAUAAGUCAAAUUUUAUAUUAAUAAGUCAACUUUUAUUCCAACUCCUUUCACACACAUUUUCCCAUCCCAGCACACACAUCUCACCACACUCUCACUCUCUAGGCGGCAAGGACGACUCCCGCUCGUGCCUUGCCUCAGCGGCCAUCGCCGGAUCCAACACAAACCCAGGGAAAGGUAGAAAGGACUCCUCUCUCUAGUCAAGUGAAGCUGUACUUAGGAAAGGUCCAUAGCCGCGAACGGCGUAUGUAUCGACUGAUCAACCAGAAACUCUGCAGAGGUUUACACCACUCACAAGAUCACCAUCAUCGACGCUGUACAUCGUCUAGGCUGAUUCUGGGCUGCCUUCCAACUAACACGAUGCCACCCUACCACUCAGAACUGGGGCCAUACCGGAGUACCACCGGCAUGCUGAGACUGUGAGACGUAGUACCGGGCCCCCAGGGUCACUACGCUGUCUUAGGAGGGUGUGGGUCCCAUGCCCGUACCUCCCUACACUAUCCGCUAACAACCUAGUAGUAGUGGCAUCGCCCUAGAUGGUCGUACAUCCGUCCCCCUCCCAUGAAGGCGAGUGAGGGUGCAAGGCUUCCUAGGACCCGGUCCACAGAACAUAUCAGUCCUUAAGCGACCAAGCAAGACAUCUUCACGUGGGGUCGGCCGAUGCCCCGCUCAACGGGACAUCUGGUCACCCCGUGCUAAACAGCAUCUCCCAUCCCGGCGCUUCGUCCCACGAAGACACUCCACUCCGGGAGCUCACCCUGUCACAUGUGCCCGCCACAGGCAUCUCUCUUGGGAAAUGCCCAGGUAGCAUCUCCCGGCAUGACUCGUCCCAAGACUCGUCGUACAUUCCUGCUCGGUCGACUCAACCCUCACCACACACCCAAAACACACGCCAAGAUCUCCCCCAAAUUCCGAUAUCGGCAUUCCAAGCCUUAACCAACCCAACCAUUGUCCACCAAGCAUCACAUCACAGAUAUAAUGCAGAGUAAAGUACCAGUAGUAAGAUGCAAGCUUCUAACCUAACUGCGGGUAAGCAAGGGUAGUAGGUUGCGACAAGGUAACGGCUCACAAGCAUUUCUACCAUGCAUCCUAUCCCAGAUUAUUGCAUAAAAGUAAAACGCUAGCUUCUACAUUCAUGGCAUGACUAAUAGGAUUCUACGAGGUUGGGUGGGAUGUGGCACCUAGCAAGUCAUCCUCGAGCUCCUCAGUGUAGUCGGGGUCGUACUCCUCAGUCGUCGGCUCCUCCUGGUCUGUCAAACGAGACAUAUGGUCGCAAUAAGCGACUCCUAUAGAUAUCACAAAAAUCCAAUAGAAGAAUCGAAAGAACCAAAUGCACUCAUAAAUAAGCCUAAGACGUAGAGCUUCUUUUUAGAAGAAUCUGGACUCUUGGUUUAUAUUUUUCGGAAAUCAUUUGGGGGUUUAAAUGAUUUAUGCAUUUUAUGGUUGUGGAAAAAGAAAGGAAAAAGGAAAAGAAGCUGGUUAAGUGGCUUGGGCUCAAACUGGCCCAACUCAGCGGCCAGGGGGAGUGGAGCGCGGGCUUACUCCUGGCGCGUUCGGCCCAGGAUAGCCUGGCGGCCGCCUGCUUGCUGUGGGCUGACGCUCCUGGGCCUCGGCCUUGGCUGGCUCGGCCCAGUGGCCAGGGGGAGUGGGCGCGCGGUGUACGGGUGCACGGGUACACGGUGGGGUCUGUGGUCCGUUGGCUGGGUCUUCGUGGACCUGGUCCACCUAGUCUCUCCUCCUCUUCGGUCUACGGCGGACCGGGUGCAGCCAGGAGGCUCUCUCUGCCUCCCCUCCCCUGCUCCCCCUCUCCCACGACGCCGAUGGGCAGCGCCAUGCUCCGGCGGUGCUCCGGUGCCCUUUUUCCCCCUUGUUCUUCCACCCUAAGUGGCACCUCGACUUUCGUUCCCUCUGCGCAUCUCGUGUGGCGUCACUCUUCCUUUCCUUGCCGACCGUAGCGAUCCGGGGCGCCCUGCACCGAGGCGGGGGCCGGCCAUGGCGGACGCACGGCCGCGCCUCGCCCUCGGUGUUUCCGUGCUCUUCUCUUGGCAAAGGCGCGCGCUUAGAGCGUUCUAGAGCAAGGCAGGAACACUAAAGGAGAUUUGGGACCCUCUAGUGAUGCGCAGCGGCCGGGAUGGCGUACAUGCCAAGGGUGAUCGUGCUCGUGGCGCCUGCGGCCGCGAGCGUGCUCGCUCGGGCGCGCGCGUCGCGGCAGCCGGCGCGCACGAGUGGCGCGGUGCGUAGGUGGGCGCGAAACGGGUGCCUUGAGGUCUGCUCAGGUGAGUCCAUGCCACUGUUUAGGGCGCGUCCGCGGAGAUCGCGCGUUCGCGCUCCCGCUCCAGCUCUCGCGGUGGUUCAGCAAAGGCCGGGCCUUGCUCCCGACCCGGAUGUGUGUGUGCUGCGUGCGCGCGGGUGUGCAGUGUGUGAGAGCGAGACGGACGCGGGGAGUGCAAAGGCAACGCCUUGGGUGAGUUUGCGGCGUGCGGCCAUGGCGCAAGUGCUCGGCUUGGUGGCGCACAGAGAUGACAAUCGAAGACAUACCGGGGGUGGCGAUGGUUGGUGGAUGGCUCUGCAGCGGGGGGUUGGGGUCGUGACGAGGCGGGAUCGCAGCGCCGUGGAGCUCGUCGCGAGGUAGGGGAGGAAGACGGUGGCGAGGUCGCCCCUGCUCCGGCGUCCUGGGCGGCUCUGGCAGCGUGGUCGCCCCUGCCCCUCCUUGCUUCUCCCUCUUGCUUGCGGCGCUCGGUGCGUGGCGGCUGAGCCGUGGUGUGGUGGCGGGGUGGAUGGGAGGCGCUAGGGCUUCGGGAAUUGGCUUUUAUAGCCAUUCCCGGCCAUGGUUGCGGCGGACGGUGGGGGAUGACAUCGGGACACGUGUAGGGUGUCCGCGACCGCAGGGCUAGGGUUCGAGGCGCGGGGGGGGGGGGGGUGGUUGGCGAGGCCCUGGCGUUCUCCCGUCCGCUCUCGUCCAGUCAAAAGGCGAGCGCAGUGUCGUCACCACGCUGCAGGGGCGCCGGGGAAGAAAAGCAGGGAAACGGAGGUGAGGUGGGGGAUGACGGGCGGGGCCCGCCUGUCAGCCGCGCGGGCGCUGGGCGAGCGCUCGGCCGGCCGCUGGCCACGCGCGCGAGUCUUGGGCCGCGCUAGCGCUUGGGCCGCUGGCUAUGCGCGGGUGGGGUGCGCGUGCUGGGCCGCGCGCGCGGUGCUGCGCCGCGGCGAACGCGAGCGCGGGUGGGGUGCGCGUGCUGGGCCGCGCGCGCGGUGCUGGGCCGCGGCGAACGCGAGCGCGGGUGGGGCAGCGAGCUGGGCUGCGAGCUCCUCUCGGGCCAAAUCUGCUUUUCAUUUUUCCAGCCCUAGCUUCAUCCCUUUUUCUAAUUUCUGCUAAAUCUUCUAUCCACCCUUGGUUCCCUAAUUGCAUAAACAAGCUGCCAACAUGUUUACGCCCUAAAAGGGAAGUCUUCUAGGGGUCUAGGAUUUUAUGGACACUAAUCCACGGGUCGGGUUUUUAGUAAAUAAAGGUUAUUGAUUUUAUUACUCAUCACAUAAAAUCAAAUAAAAGCCAAAUCACAUGUUGAAUUAAAUAUGCAUAUGCUCAAAAAUUAAAUAGGCUCUACUUGUGCAUCUACAAGGGAUUUUCCUAGUAUGAAUUCACCAAACAAGGGUUAUUUUUAGAAAAAUUUUCAGAUGGUAUUUUUGGGUAUUUUAGGAAAAUUUCUGGGUCAUUACAGUCCUUCCCCCUCAUUGGAAUCUCGUCCCGAGAUUUAAGGUGUGAUGUACCUUUCGAAGAGGUAGGGGUAUCGUAACUGCAACUCAGACUCUUUCUCCCAAGUGGCUUCUCUUUCUGUGUGGUUGCUCCACAGAACCUUGCACAUGGGAGUGGUAGAGCUUCUAGUUUCCUUGGUGGCUCUGUCUAGAAUCUUGACUGGGUACUCCCGGUACUCUAGUGUUUCCUGUAGGUCUAGUGACUCAACGGGCACCUGUGUCUCUGACAGUUUCAAACACCUGCGUAACUGAGAUACGUGGAACACUGGAUGCACUCUGUCUAGGUCUUCUGGUAACUCUAGCUUGUAUGCUAACUUGCCAAAACUUGCAACGAUCCGGUAGGGGCCUACAAACCUGGGUGCCAGCUUCCCUUUCACAUGGAAUCUGAAAGUCCCACGUAGCGGGGAGACCUUGAGGUACACAUGAUCCCCCACUUUGAACUCGAGAUCCCUUCGACGGUUAUCUGCGUAACUUUUCUGUCUACUCUGAGCGAUCUUCAAGUUCUCUCGCACAUGGGCGACUCCUUCUUCGGCUUCUUUAAUUUUAUCAGGGCCAAAGAACGCUCUCUCUCCCACCUGUGACCACAUCAGCGGGGUUCUACAUUUCCUUCCAUAUAGGGCUUCAAAAGGUGACAUCUGAAUGCUGGCCUGAUAACUGUUAUUGUAGGAGAACUCUGCAUGAGGUAGACUUUUUUCCCAAUCUAACCCAUACUUCAGUACACUGAGCAUAUCCUCCAGGACCUGAUUCACUCUCUCAGUCUGCCCAUCAGUCUGCGGGUGGUAUGCGGUGCUAUAGUCUAAGCGGGUGCCGAUUGCCUUGUGCAGGCUCUGCCAAAACUUGGAUACCCACUGGGGGCCACGGUCUGAGACUAUGCUAGCAGGUGCCCCGUGAAGCCUGAGGAUGUGAUGUAUGUACAAGUCUACCAAUUUGUCGGCUCGGUAGUCCAUCUUGACUGGCACGAAGUGGGCUACCUUGGUGAGUCGAUCGAUGAUCACCCAGAUGGAGUCAUGGCUUUGCGAGGAUCGGGGUAACCCCACGAUAAAGUCCAUGGCUAUGUUGUCCCAUUUCCACUGUGGUAUGUCUAGGGGUUUGAGCAACCCGGCUGGCCUUCGGUGCUCUGCUUUGACCCUAUUGCACGUGUCACAUCGAGCAACAUGUCCAGCGAUGUCUUUCUUCAUAUCCUUCCACCAGAAGACCUUCCUCAAAUCAGCGUACAUUUUGGUGCUGCCAGGGUGUAUGCAGUACCUAGAGUCGUGUGCCUCCGACAAGAUCUCUUCAUGCAAGGCCUCGUCGCUAGGUACACAAAUUCUGUUCUUGCACCAAUAUGUCCCUCUUUCAUAUGUUCGGAACUCGGGGCAUUUCCCCCCUUCCAUGCGCUCGUGGACCUCUUGGAUCUAAGGACAGUCCUGCUAGGCUCUGCGGAUUCGAUCUUCUAUGUCAUAUUGUAUCCGCAACUCACUGAGCAAACCCCUGGGUAUGAUCUCCAGUCGUAGGUCUCCCAUCUCCUGACAUAAUUCUGACGGUAUGGCUUCCAUGGACAGGCUAUGACAAUAGCUCUUGCGGCUCAAGGCGUCAGCAACUACAUUUGCCUUUCCUGGGUGGUAGUGGAUCUCCAGGUUGUAGUCCUUUAUGAGCUCCAACCACCUACGUUGUCUCAUGUUCAGAUCUUCUUGAGUGAAAAAGUACUUCAAGCUCUUAUGAUCAGUGUAAAUGUCACACUUGUUGCCGAUCAAGUAGUGUCUCCAGAUCUUCAGGGCAUGCACUACGGCUGCUAGCUCAAGGUCAUGGGUGGGGUAGCGUUGCUCAUGGUCAUUCAGCUAUCGCGACGCAUAUGCUAUGACUUUCCCACUCUGCAUCAGAACACAUCCGAGUCCCUGUCUCGAAGCAUCACAGUAGACUAUGAAGUCCUUCUGAAUGUCAGGCAAGGCUAGCACAGGGGUGGUGGUAAGCUUCUGUUUCAAGGUCUAGAAACUCUGUUCACACUCAGGUGUCCACUCAAACUCAUUGGUCUUCUUGAGGAGGUUGGUCAUUGGCUUGGCGAUCUUAGAGAAAUUCUCAAUGAAUCGGCGAUAGUACCCGGCCAAACCUAGAAAACUGCGGAUAUCAGUCGCAUUACGGGGUUGCUCCCAUUCUUUCACGGCUUCUAUUUUUGCUGGGUCAACUGCAACCCCCUCAGCUGUGAGAACAUGCCCAAGGAAGGCGACUUCUUCAAGCCAGAACUCGCACGUACUGAACUUGGCAUAGAGCUGAUUCUGCCUCAACUUCUCCAGAACUACUCUCAAGUGCUGCUCAUGUUCUUCGGCAGAGGCUGAAUAGACAAGAAUGUCAUCAAUGAACACCACAAUGAACUUGUCUAGUUCUUCCAUGAACACCUUGUUCAUCAUAUUCAUGAAGUAGGCCGGGGCAUUCGUGAGUCCGAAGGACACAACGGUGAACUCAUAUUGCCCAUACCUUGUGACAAAGGCUGUCUUAGGUAUAUCCUCCGGUCUGAUCUUCAUCUGAUGGUACCCGGAUCGGAGAUCAAUUUUUGAGAAGAACUUGGCAUCCUUCAACUGAUCUAAUAGGUCAUCGAUCCUUGGGAGAGGGUACUUGUUCUUGACAGUCACGGCAUUUAAGUUUCGGUAGUCAAUACACAUCCUCAUGGAACCAUCCUUCUUCUUCACGAACAAGACAGGGGAACCCCAUGGUGAAGCACCAGGCCUAAUGUACCCCUUAUCUGCCAACUCCUUGAGUUGCUUCUUGAGCUCUUCCAGCUCAUCGACUGACAUGCGGUAGGGCCUCUUAGCAAUGGGACCCGUACCCAGCAGAAGGUCGAUCACGAACUCCACAUCUCUGUCAGGUGGCAUACCCGGCAACUCCUCUGGAAACACGUCAGGGUACUCACUCACUACAGGCACCUCCUCUACUGACUUGGAUUCUAAGGCGCAUAUCAUGGGCGCCUUCUUCUCAUGGUUAGGCUCACAUCGAAGCACACGACCGCUCGGGUGCGUUAUCUCUACAUACCUCGGUGAACAAGAUAUCACUCCCUUGUGUUGGGUCAGCCAAUCCAUUCCUAAGAUGACAUCCAGUCCAUCUGACGGAAGUAAUGUGAGGUCGGCUAGAAAAGGGUAACCCUCAAUGGUGAUACUCACUCCCUGACAUUUUUGGGUGCAUCUGAGGUUGCCUAAAGGAGAUAUGGUGUCUAUAGGUACCUUCCGUGGUGACACGGGUAGGUUGUGCUCUCGUGCGAAUCUGGAGGAUACAUAUGAGCAAGUUGCACCAGAGUCAAAUAGAACUGAUGCCAUAACUCCCUGUACCAAAAACAUACCGUACACCGCGUCGGGGGCGUCCUGAGCGUCCUGUGCUGUCAGGUGUGUGAGACGGCCGCGGGUGGCUCCCACAGCUGGCUUGCAAAGUGUGCCCUGAGCAGGUGUCUGCCUGGCGGCAGCUGGGGCAGGUGGUGGAGCAGUCUUCGCCGGGCAGUAGGCAGCCUUGUGGCCUGGCUGACCACAGUUGAAGCAAGCGAAAGGCACACUGCCUGUGGAGGUGGGUGCAGCGGCCUUCCACAUGCUGGUACUCUGCACAGGGUGGCUCUGAGUGGGGCGGUGGUAGUUGGCGGUGUGGGUACCACCUCCUCGACUCGGAGCCGGUGCAGCACCCUGAGCAGAGCGGGGGCGUGACAGAGGGGGCACGUGAGCACGUGGCCUCUGGGGUGCCGGGCCACGAGAAGAACUCUCGGACCGGCGCUUCUUCUCCUUGUACUGAGCAUCGGCCUCCAGGCGGUCCCUCUCCAUCUCCAGGGCCUUGUUGAUCAUCUCCCGGAGGGUGUAGCAGGUGUGUCCCGAGAGGGCCACCUUGAGGCGCGUACUCAGACCCUUCUUGAAGAAGUACAUCUUCUUCUUCUCAGUGUUGGACUCAUCUGGAGCAUACCUCAUGGUGCGGGUGAAGCGAGUGGCAUACUCCUGUACCUUCUGAGUGCCCUAGGAGAUGUUGCGGAACUCCUCCACCUUGGCGUCCAUGACACCCUCAGGUACAUGCUGCUCACGGAAUGCCUCAGUGAACUCAGCCCAGGUUAUGCUCCCGGGUCUUUCAUGGGUGUCACUGUAGCUGUCCCACCAUGCGCGUGCAGCGUGAGUGAGCUGGUGAGCGGUGACUCCCACACACUCCUCAUCAGUGCAAGUGGUGAGGUCCAGCUUCUUCUCGAUCUCACGCAGCCAGUCCUCGGCAGCGAUGGGAUCAUCAUCAGCACAGUCAAACGUAGGAGGCCUCAGCUUGAGGAAGCCUUCUAGCUUCCUUUGGAAGUCAUUGGGCGGACCUCCUCGAGGACGACGCAGUAUGCCAUCCGCCAGUGCCUCCAGAAGGCGGGUCUGGCGAUCCAUCAUCUCAGACAGAGACGGUGGCGGCGGUGGUGGUGCAUCAUUGUCCCCGAGCUGAGGGGACCUAGCUCUCCUGUGGGGCUCCUCUAGGGCAGGCUCUCCUGGGGCGGGCUCCUCCCCCUCCCGCUCAAGUCUAGGGGCAGGAGAGGCAGCUCCUCGACCACGCCCACGUCCACGACCACGGUACUCCACCUCGGGUGAAGGGGAACGAACGUUGAGGCGUUCAGAACAGCGGCACGCCAUCUCUCUGCAUGGAUUAGGUCAUGAUUUAAUGUGUUAAAACAAUGUUUAGAUAAUUAGGCAAUUUAAUUCAUAAAACAUUCUAUCCAACACUCAUACAAAGAAGCAAAUAACAUCGAUAAAAUCCAUUAAGACCCAAACAUUCAUUACAUGAGUUCAUUACACAGCGAUGCCUUGGGCAACUACACCAGAGGGCUCGCGGGAAUCGCUCUACACGCAGGUAGGCUCCAAAAGAACAGGACAUUCCGCUCUACUACAGAUAGUGAGUUACAUGUCGCAUUAUUCGCCACGCAGGGCACAUCAUCAGGACGACUACUCUACUCUACUGGGUAGGGACGUAAGGUGGUGUGGUGGGGCGAGAGCUAGGGAGCUGCUCCUCAGAGUCCCUGUCCAUAGCCUCGAGCUCGGCGUCAGUGCGGUGAAGUCGGCCGGCGUACCCCUCCGCGGCCUCGAGCUGUAUGGUCCUCGGUACCUCAGGGUAGUGCUCAGAAGGGCAAGCAGUGAGGUUGAGGGUGGUGGGUGCAGGACGGAAGGAGUGCUUGCGCGCCUCCUUGCGCAUCUUGGGAGGAAGGGGCUCCUGGACACGGGCGAUCUCCUGGACACACUUGUUGUCAGAAGCGAUCCAAGCCUGACAGGUCCUCUGGGCCUUGUCCCUGAAGUACUCCGUGGUCUUGAUGAGCUCAGCUAGGUGACGAGUGUUGUGGGUGGACUCAGCCCUCAGCAUCUCAUUCUCCUGUGACAUACGCUCAUAGCGGGUCUCCAGACACAGCUUGCUGAAGAUCUUCUCCUUCUCCCUCUGACGGAACUCGCCCAAGAGCACCCGCUGGCGCUCAAGUCGGUCCUCCAGCUCAAGCACCUUGGCGUCCAAGUGGUCGCCCCGGAGCUCGUAGUUUCUGGCCUUGUUCUGCCACUCCUGGAUCUCCUGCCUAAAGGCGACCUCGCGAGCUCGGCUGAAGUCCUCCAGGCGGUCAUGGCUGUGGCGCUCUGUCAGGAUAGCGUCCCUCAGUAUCCUCUUCUUCACCUGCUCCAUCUCGAUGAUGUGGUCGGCUGUGAACACCAAGUCUCGGUAGCACUUGUUCUCAGUCUCGACCGCCGUGAUGUAGCGAUCCUGGGCCAAGAUGUAGCGGCCCGAGAACUGAAGACAUGGGUCUGUCUCCUCCUGAGCGAGCUGGUCCGCAGCCAACACUCGGACGGUGGCUCCCUCGACGUAGGUGAGGUCCAGGACACGAGGAAGUAGACGGAAUCUGCCACCCUGGAUGUGCUCCCACGUGUCCUGAACGACGUGGCGGAGGGCGUGGCGAGUCGCGGCCUGGACGCAGUUGGCGACCGAAGUCUCGAUUGCCAGCUCCUGGAAAGCUGCCACUCCAGGAAGCGUCGUGCUGGUGGGGACGGUGAGAUUGAUCACAAUGUGACCCUGAAGCUGUCCGUCCGGUCCCUCCUCUCCACGACAGACGUAGCGGAUCGGCUCGGUAGGGACUCCAAGCUCAGUCAGCACGUCGUACAGCAGGGGCACAAAGCCACCGUACUGUUGGGCGUCCACAGCCAUCUCAACGAUCAACAUGGUGCUCUGCAUUUACCCAAAGAGAAGGGGGUUAGAAAGGAAUGUAGUGAGAUUUAGGUAGUGAAAGCGUAGAUGUAAGUUAAGCCAUGCAUAAAAGAUGCAAGGUCAGCGAAUAUAGGCCGAAAAGACAAGUCUCACUCCUAAUUUUUGUCAUCCGAUCCUAAGGGUCUCGUCCUAGGGUCAAGUAUGGCUCUGAUACCAAUUGAAACGAUCUAGAUUUCCAUGAAGGGAAAUCCCCAGAUUCGAAUUGUAAAACGAAUUAACGCGCGAAGGAGUCAAUUCGAAAUACCUGAAUUUCAGCUGUUAUACAAGUCAUACACGAACAAAAGAGAGUACAAGAGGGGUUUACUCAUUAUUACAUCGCCACUUGGCGGAAUCACACUCACACACACAGCAUGCGGAACAGCAUCGGGUAGAUAGCGAAGGCGCGAACUCCGGAUCCUCCAAACUUGAGCGUAGGAUGAGACACCUACUCCUCCCAAUCGUCGCCCGCGUAGUCGUACUCAGGCUCAGAACCUGCUGCCAAAGUAUCAGUACGAUUUGUACUAGCCACUGGCUCCCACCCUAUGCUUUUUGCGAAGCUUUGAGGUAGGUGGAAUGCAAGGGGAUGAAUCAAAAGACCUAAGAUAUGCCUGUAGUUUCCUAUGCGAAUAAGUCAAACUUUAUAUUAAUAAGUCAACUUUUAUUCCAACUCCUUUCACACACAUUUUCCCAUCCCAGCACACACAUCUCACCACACUCUCACUCUCUAGGCGGCAAGGACGACUCCCGCUCGUGCCUUGCCUCAGCGGCCAUCGCCGGAUCCAACACAAACCCAGGGGAAGGUAGAAAGGACUCCUCUCUCUAGUCAAGUGAAGCUGUACUUAGGAAAGGUCCAUAGCCGCGAACGGCGUAUGUAUCGACCGAUCAACCAGAAACUCUGCAGAGGUUUACACCACUCACAAGAUCACCAUCAUCGACGCUGUACAUCGUCUAGGCUGAUUCCGGGCUGCCUUCCAACUAACACGAUGCCACCCUACCACUCAGAACUGGGGCCAUACCGGAGUACCACCGGCAUGCUGAGACUGUGAGACGUAGUACCGGGCCCCCAGGGUCACUACGCUGUCUUAGGAGGGUGUGGGUCCCAUGCCCGUACCUCCCUACACUAUCCGCUAACAACCUAGUAGUAGUGGCAUCGCCCUAGAUGGUCGUACAUCCGUCCCCCUCCCAUGAAGGCGAGUGAGGGUGCAAGGCUUCCUAAGACCCGGUCCACAGAACAUAUCAGUCCUUAAGCAACCAAGCAAGACAUCUUCACGUGGGGUCGGCCGAUGCCCCGCUCAACGAGACAUCCGGUCACCCCGUGCUAAACAGCACCUCCCAUCCCGGCGCUUCGUCCCACGAAGACACUCCACUCCGGGACCUCACCCUGUCACAUGUGCCCGCCACAGGCAUCUCUCUUGGGAAAUGCCCAGGUAGCAUCUCCCGGCAUGACUCGUCCCAAGACUCGUCGUACAUUCCUGCUCGGUCGACUCAACCCUCACCACACACCCAAAACACACGCCAAGAUCUCCCCCAAAUUCCGAUAUCCGCAUUCCAAGCCUUAACCAACCCAACCACUGUCCACCAAGCAUCACAUCACAGAUAUAAUGCAGAGUAAAGUACCAGUAGUAAGAUGCAAGCUUCUAACCUAACUGCGGGUAAGCAAGGGUAGUAGGUUGCGACAAGGUAACGGCUCACAAGCAUUUCUACCAUGCAUCCUAUCCCAGAUUAUUGCAUAAAAGUAAAGCGCUAGCUUCUACAUUCAUGGCAUGACUAAUAGGAUUCUACGAGGUUGGGUGGGACGUGGCACCUGGCAAGUCGUCCUCGAGCUCCUCAGUGUAGUCGGGGUCGUACUCCUCAGUCGUCGGCUCCUCCUGGUCUGUCCAACGAGACAUAUGGUCGCAAUAAGCGACUCCUAUAGAUAUCACAAAAAUCCAAUAGAAGAAUCGAAAGAACCAAAUGCACUCAUAAAUAAGCCUAAGACGUAGAGCUUCUUUUUAGAAGAAUUUGGACUCUUGGUUUAUAUUUUUCAGAAAUCAUUUGAGGGUUUAAAUGAUUUAUGCAUUUUAUGGUUGUGGAAAAAGAAAGGAAAAAGGAAAAGAAGCUGGUUCAGUGGCUUGGGCUCAAACUGGCCCAACUCAGCGGCCAAGGGGAGUGGAGCGCGGGCUUACUCCUGGCGCGUUCGGCCCAGGAUAGCCUCGCGGCCGCCUGCUUGCUGUGGGCUGACGCUCCUGGGCCUCGGCCUUGGCUGGCUCGGCCCAGUGGCCAGGGGGAGUGGGCGCGCGGUGUACGGGUGCACGGGUACACGGCGGGGUCUGUGGUCCGUUGGCUGGGUCUUCGUGGACCUGGUCCACCUGCUCUCUCCUCCUCUUCGGUCUACGGCGGACCGGGUGCAGCCAGGAGGCUCUCUCUCCCUCCCCUCCCCUGCUCCCCCUCUCCCACGACGCCGAUGGGCAGCGCCAUGCUCCGGCGGUGCUCCGGUGCCCUUUUCCCCCUUGUUCUUCCACCCUAAGUGGCACCUCGACUUUCGUUCCCUCUGCGCAUCUCGUGUGGCGUCACUCUUCCUUUCCUUGCCGACCGUAGCGAUCCGGGGCGCCCUGCACCGAGGCGGGGGGCGGCCAUGGCGGACGCACGGCCGCGCCUCACCCUCGGCGUUUCCGUGCUCUUCUCUUGGCAAAGGCGCGUGCUUAGAGCGUUCUAGAGCAAGGCAGGAACACUAAAGGAGAUUUGGGACCCUCUAGUGAUGCGCAGCGGCCGGGACGGCGUACAUGCCAGGGGUGAUCGUGCUCGUGGCGCCUGCGGCCACGAGCGUGCUCGCUCGGGCGCGCGCGUCGCGGCAGAUGGCGCGCACGAGUGGCGCGGUGCGUAGGCGGGCGCGAAACGGGUGCCUUGAGGUCUGCUCAGGUGAGUCCGUGCCACUAUUCAGGGCACGUCCUCAGAGAUCGUGCGUUCGCGCUCCCGCUCCAGCUCUCGCGGUGGUUCAGCAAAGGCCGAGCCUUGCUCCCGACCCGGAUGUGCGUGUGCUGCGUGCGCGCGGGUGUGCGGUGUGUGAGAGCGAGACAGACGCGGGGAGUGCAAAGGCAGCGCCUUGGGUGCGUUUGUGGCGUGCGGCCAUGGCGCAAGCGCUCGGCUUGGUGGCGCACAGAGAUGACAAUCGAAGACAUACCGGGGGUGGCGAUGGUUGGCGGAUGGCUCUGCAGUGGGGGGUUGGGGUCGUGACGAGACGGGUUCGCAGCGCCGUGGAGCUCGUCGCGAGGUAGGGGAGGAAGACGGCGGCGAGGUCGCCCCUGCUCCGGCGUCCUGGGCGGCUCUGGCAGCGUGGUCGCCCCUGCCCCUCCCUACUUCUCCCUCUUGCUUGCGGUGCUCGGUGCGUGGUGGCUGAGCCACGGUGUGGUGGCGGGGUGGAUGGGAGGCGCUAGGGCUUCGGGAAUUGGCUUUUAUAGCCAUUCCCGGCCAUGGUUGCAGCGUACGGCGGGGGAUGACAUCGGGACACGUGUAGGGUGUCCGCGACCGCAGGGCUAGGGUUCGAGGCGCGCGGGGGGGGGGGUGGUGGUUGGCGAGGCCCUGGCAUUCUCCCGUCCGCUCUCGUCCGGUCAAAAGGCGAGCGCAGUGUCGUCACCACGCUGCAGGGGCACCGGGGAAGAAAAGCAGGGAAACAGAGAUGAGGUGGGGGAUGACGGGCGGGGCCCGCCUGUCAGCCGCGCGGGCGCUGGGCGAGCGCUCGGCCGGCCGCUGGCCACGCGCGCGAGUCCUGGGCCGCGCUAGCGCUUGGGCCGCUGGCUAUGCGCGGGUGGGGUGCGCGUGCUGGGCCGCGCGCGCGGUGCUGGGCCGCGGCGAACGCGAGCGCGGGUGGGGUGCGCGUGCUGGGCCGCGCGCGCGGUGCUGGGCCGCGGCGAACGCGAGCGCGGGUGGGGCAGCGAGCUGGGCUGCGAGCUCCUCUCGGGCCAAAUCUGCUUUUCAUUUUUCCAGCCCUAGCUUCAUCCCUUUUUCUAAUUUCUGCUAAAUCUUCUAUCCACCCUUGGUUCCCUAAUUGCAUAAACAAGCUGCCAACAUGUUUACGCCCUAAAAGGGAAGUCUUCUAGGGGUCUAGUGUUUUAUGGACACUAAUCCACGGGUCGGAUUUUAUUACUCAUCAUAUAAAAUCAAAUAAAAUACAAAUCACAUGUUGAAUUAAAUAUGCACAGGCUCAAAAAUUAAAUAGGCUCUACUUGUGCAUCUACAAGGGAUUUUCCUAGUAUGAAUUCACCAAACAAGGGUUAUUUUUAGAAAAAAUUUUAGGUGGUAUUUUUGGGUAUUUUAGGAAAAUUUCUGGGUCAUUACAAUAUAUUUAUACACUUCGAAUCUUUUGAUCAGCACUAGGCAGAGAACUUCUAGUUUAGAUCGUUACUUAACUUUACAACAACUAGAAUUCAGAUUGCAUUCCUUGUGUAUUACUCCCACCAAGCUCCACCUAAAAACCAUCGUAAUCGGUAGUCUCUGUUCUUGUAUUCGCCUCGCCAUCACUUUCAGUUGGCACCACACAUUUGUUUUCCUUGUAAUCUGCAGCAGAGGAAUUCAUAAGAGCUUUGGUGGUUAGAGAGGUGAGUUGUGAGAGCCACCAAAUUUUCAUAUUCCACAAAUACAAAUUAUUUGUAUUCAGAUAACCUUACAGGAAGAUGGGUCGAGUGGACAUCAAAGAUCGUGUUACCAUAACACAAUUUAAUAAACUCCGACAAAGCAUGGAAGAAAAGCAAGAGAGGUUGACACAAGAUCUUCAGAAUCUUAUGACUGAAAUCAGAAGGCAUCGUCCACCUCAUGAUGGUGCAAGCAACCAUAGUGGAGAUAGAGAAGAUAGUGAUGGAAGAAGAGGAGGUCGGAGGAACCAAAGGGCUGCAAAUGGUAAAGGAAGGAGACAUAGUGGAAGAAAUGAUGAUGAAUCUAAAGAUGAGGCUGAUGACAACCGCUUCCUACUCAGUUUUGGUCGUCGGUGUCAUAGAAGAGGCAACCAUGAAGAAAGAUUUGGCAAACUGAAAUUUACCAUGCCAAAAUUUGUUGCUGAACCAUCCACGAGGAAUUUCUCUGGAGGAAGCAAAUCAAACACAAAGUUUGCUGCUGAAUCAUCCACGGUGAAAGGCUCAAGUGGAGGCUUAUGAUUAAAUUUUCAGGGUACUUUUAGUGGAAAGAACACUGCUGUCCCAAGUUCAAAACCAGCAGCAUCAACCACUACUUCAGUGGGUUCUACUUCUAGGAGUAGUGGAAUUCAGAGCUUCAAGUGUGGAGGCCUUGGGCAUAUAAGUGAGGAGUGCUCCAAUACUCAGGUGAUCAUUAUGAAUGAUGAUGGAGAAUUUGAAUCAGCUAGUGAAGAGGGAAUUGAGGAGGAAGCCCAUGGAGAUGAGGACCUUAUUUGUUGUUAGUUUGAGCAAGGAGCUGCUCUUGAGAUGACUCAAAUCUUGAGUGUUCAGACAAAUGAAGCUGAAAAUGGGCAGCAACAUAAAUUAUUUCAAACUAGAGCAAAGGUGCACGAUAAAGAGGUGAAGGUGAUUAUUGAUGGAGGGAGCUGCCAUAAUCUUGCUAGUCGUGAGAUGGGUGAUAAACUUGGCUUGAAGCUGCUAUGACACCCUCAUCCAUAUAAUAUACACUGGCUGAAUGAUUCGAAAGAUAUCAAGAUUGGAUAUAAAGUAAACGUUCCAUUCAAGAUUGGUGAAUAUGUUGACACAGUAGAGUGUGAUGUGGCACCUAUGUUGGUGUGUCACUUGCUGCUUGGAAGGCCAUGGCAAUAUGAUCGAUAUAGCCAAUAUUGUGGGAGAACAAAUCAGUUCAAUAUCAAUCUAAAGGGGAAGAAGUUUGUUCUCAAGCCUAUGACACUCCAACAAAUCAUGGCUGAACAUUUACAAAAGAAAUCUGAAAUUGUUCCAGUGAGUAGAGAGGAAGGAGAGCAAAAGAAAUUGAGUGCCAUCCACAAUUCGGUGAGUGAGUGCCACAAGCCAAAUUUGAGGGAGAAAAAGAAAGGAGAAGGAGAGAAUUUAGUCAUGCUAGCCACAAAAUCUGAAAUAAGAGAAGUGAGGAACAACCCCAAACAAGUGCUCUUUGUACUUGUGUACAAAGAUAUUUUAAUUUCAACUAACAACAUGACCUCUCUUCCUAGUGUUGUGUCUCAUCUUUUGCAGGACUAUGGAGAUAUCUUUCCAGAAGAAACACCGGCGGGACUACCUCCAAUUCGUGGGAUUGAGCAUCAAAUUGAUCUCAUUCCAGGGGCUGCACUACCUAAUCGACCACCAUACCGAACCAAUCCAGAAGAAACAAAGGAGAUACAAAGGCAAGUGCAAGAACUUCUUGAUAAAGGUUUUGUUCGUGAAAGUUUAAGUCCUUGUGCUAUUCCUGUAAUUUUAGUACCAAAGAAAGAUGGUUCUUGGAGAAUGUGUGUUGAUUGUAGAGCUAUAAAUAACAUCACUGUUCGCUAUCGCCACCCUAUCCCACGUUUAGAUGACAUGCUUGAUGAAUUAAGUGGUUCCACCAUAUUCACUAAAAUUGAAUUGAGAAGUGGAUACCAUCAGAUAAGAAUGAAAACAAGGGAUGAAUGGAAAACUGCAUUUAAAACAAAAUUUAGGUUGUAUGAAUGAUUAGUUAUGCCUUUUGGUUUGACUAAUGCUCCUAGUACUUUCAUGAGAUUAAUGAACCAUGUCUUGAGAGCUUUCAUUGGAAAAUUUGUUGUUGUAUACUUUGAUGAUAUCUUAAUUUACAGUAAGUCUUUUGAGGAACAUGUGAAUCAUAUUCGGCAAGUCUUGGAAGAGCUUAGAAAGGAGAAAUUAUUUGCUAAUCUUGAGAGGUGCAGUUUUUGCACAGACCAUGUUGUGUUUCUUGGCUUUGUUGUUUCAGGAAAGGGCAUAGAAGUGGAUGAAAGCAAGGUGAAAGCCAUCAAGGAUUGGCCAACUCCAACAAAUGUAAGUCAAGUAAGAAGUUUUCAUGGCCUUGCUGGUUUUUAUAGGAGGUUUGUGAGAGAUUUCAGUACCAUCGCUGCUCCUUUGAAUGAAUUGACAAAGAAAGGUGUUGACUUUAAAUGGGGAAAUCACAACAAAAUGGAUUUCAAGAAUUAAUGAAACGUUUGACUGAAGCACCUGUACUUGUUCUUCCUGAUUUCACUAAAACUUUUGAAGUAGAAUGUGAUGCUAGUGGAAUUAGGAUAGGAGGAGUUUUAAUGCAACAAGGAAAACCUGUAGCAUAUUUUAGUGAAAAACUAGGAGGUGCUCAACUGAAUUAUUCUGUGUAUGAUGAAGAAUUAUAUGCUUUGGUGUGUGUGCUUGAAACAUGGCAGCACUACUUAUGGCCAAAAGAAUUUGUUAUUCACUCUGAUCAUGAAGCUUUGAAGUACUUGAAAGGACAAGCAAAACUAAACCGUCGUCAUGCCAAAUGGGUUGAGUUCAUCGAAACAUUUCCAUACAUUGUGAAAUAUAAGAAAGGUAAGGACAAUGUUGUUGCUGAUGCUCUGUCACGAAAGAGUGUGUUGCUAAACCAAAUUGAGGUAAAGGUUUUGGGACUUGAAAGUUUGAAAGAACUGUACAGUAAUGAUCCUGAAUUUUCAGAACCAUAUAAUCAUUGUAAAAAUGAAAAGGUUGGGAAAAGUAUCAUAUACAUGAUGGAUUUUUGUUUAGUGCUAACAAAAUCUGUGUUCCAAAUUCUUCGAUUAGAUUGCUUUUGUUGCAGGAGUCUCAUGGGGGAGGAUUGACAGGCCAUUUUGGACAAAGAAAAACCUAUGAGCUGCUAGAAGAUCAUCUUUAUUGGCCCAAGAUGAGAAGAGAUGUCAUCAGAUUCGUGGAGCGAUGCGUUACCUGUCACAAAGCUAAGUGUAAACUGAACCCUCAUGGUUUAUAUACUCCUUUACCUACUCCUAAAACUCCUUGGGAAGACAUAAGCAUGGAUUUUGUCUUGGGGUUGCCUAGAACUCAGAGAGGAAAAAAUUCAAUUUUUGUUGUGGUUGAUAGAUUUUCAAAGAUGGCUCAUUUUAUUCCUUGUAACAAGAGCGACGAUGCUUCACAUAUUGCUAAUUUGUUCUUCAGGGAAAUUGUGCGGCUGCAUGGAAUGCCUAGAACCAUUGUAUCUAAUCGUGAUGUCAAGUUUGUGAGCUAUUUUUGGAAAACAUUAUGGGCAAAGCUCAGAACCAAGCUUUUGUUCUUCACCACUUGUCACCCUCAAACUGAUGGACACACUGAAGUGGUGAAUCGCACAUUGUCAAUGUUGCUGCGAACUAUGGUGAAAAGGAACCUGAAGGUUUGGAAGGAAUGCUUGCCACAUGUGGAGUUUGCAUAUAACAGGGCAGUACACUCUACCACUAAUAUGUGUCCUUUUGAAAUUGUAUAUAGGUUCAAACCUAUUGCUCCGAUAGAUUUGUUGCCCCUUCCAUUGCAGGAAAGAACCAAUGUGGAAGCCUCCAAGCGUGCUGUAUACAUCAAGAAGGUACACAAGAAGACCAAGGAAGCAAUUGAACUCAAGGCAGGACGCAAGGCUACAAGUAUGAACAAACAUAGGAAGAAGGUGUUAUUUGAACCCGGGGACUUGGUGUGGAUACACUUGCGCAAGGAUCGCUUUCCUCUGCAGUGCAAAUCAAAAUUGCUACCACGAGGAGAUGGUCCAUUUCAUGUUCUUGAGAAGAUCAAUGACAAUGCAUACAAGAUUGAUCUUCCUACAAGUUAUGGCGUGAGCAACUCCUUCAAUGUUGUUGAUCUCUCACCAUUCACAAAUGAAGACACUUUAGAGUCGAGGACGACUUGUUUUCAAGGGGGGGAGGAUGAUAUGACCACGCCACCAAGCAAGAUGUCACAAGCUCCAAGUCAAGCUACACCCACUCAAGUUUCACCUACACCGACACCAGCCCAAGUCAUCGAUGGACCGAUUACACGUAGUCGUGCAAAGAAGCUAUAACAAGAGGUCCACGCGCUACUUUGUGAGAUUCAUUUUAACAUUAAUGAGAAUUAUAUACUACCUAAGUGUUGUACCUUGAUUGUACUCAGGUAUAUAGAAGAAGAGAAUGAUGAAUCGGACCUGAAGAACGGACCAGUGCAAGUUCCAGAAGAAGUCAAAAACGGACCAGUGGAAGUCAAAAACGGACCAGUGCAAAGAAAUUUUCAUAACUUUUAACUCACAAAAGCUAUGAACAUCCAAGAGCACUAGUUGGAAAGCUUGACAAGUCUACUUUCCAAUGAAUCUAGUGGCGACCAGUUUGGAUACUCCAUAUUGCCUGUAGACCAGAAUUAGUACAGACUGCUUAGAAGGUCAACAGUCUGUCGUGAUAGAAUGUUGGUACAACUUGCCAAGUAAAACUGUACCAAUCUACAACGUUUCCUACUGGUUGGCAUACAUUUCUGGAAAUCUCUUUGAGUCUAGUUUCACACCCAAGAAACGGUUCAUCAUUUGGACUUCCAAAUAAAAAGGUUCAUCAUUUGGACUUCCGAAUAAAAAGUUGUGGUCAGUUUAUUAGAAACUGCUCUAGAGGCCAACAGUCACGCGAAGCCACUUCGAGAAUCCAUUUCGAUGGGACCUUUCACAUUGCCUUCCCUCAGAAACUCUAUUUUGUUUUCAUACCUGUCUAGCAGGGCUGUUGCUAGUAUAAAUACCCCCUAAGACUCAUUGUAAUCUCAGACUUUUGAGAAUUGAAAUACAGAACCCCUUUUGUUUAGCUGUGUGCUAGCAAAUAUUCAGAGAGUGAUCUCUACCCCUUUGCUCUUGUGAUUUCCUCACGGGAUUACAUAGGCGGCGGCUUCAUCCGCUCCCAAUUGGUGCUCCUACUCCCUUCAAGGUAUUCCUUGAUUGAUUGUAGGCUGUGUUGGUUGGUUCUUUGAGAGUGUGGUUGGGCGAAUCCUCGAUUCACGUUGCCGGUUAAAGACGGUGGUUGGCUUUGAGUUUUAUUUGCCAGGUUGCACUAGUUAUCGCUGCUUGCAGCAAGUUAUCCGGCUGUUCUUUAGCUCGUUAUCGGUGUUCUUCCUACGUCAUGAAGAUCGGGACAACGUGUCGCAUCAAGGACACAUUUUGAGAAAUAUGGAGGAUUUUUCAACUCCCAGACUCUACCAAGUGAAGGAAGUGGAUCUACGAGCACAAACACACUGAGCAAGAUACUGCCAAUGCCGCACCUCAAACUGCUAGACAAACGAAAAACAUGGGUGACACCGUAUCAAGAGGUGCAAAUGUCAAGGCCUACACCUAAUCAAAUGAUGCACCUAAAGGAUGAACACGGUGAGAAGUCUUGUCCAGAAGACUUAAAACAUUGAAUCCUUGCCGGAAGGUAAAAUCGGUAUUUAUCCAUAUUUAUCUUUUCUGCAUUCCUUUUCCUUUUUAUUCCAUCACUUGCAUUAACAUAUUUACUUUUCCACAUUAGCAUUAGAAAAGAAAACAAAAAUAUUUGUUCGUUGCACUGCAUCAUAAAAUUUAAAGCCCCAUGUGAGUAGACUUGUGGUUUAAAACCCAUAGGUAUAUUGACUGUGGUGGCAUAAAAUAAAUAUGUUUUCAUCUUACAAUAAAAAUAUAAAAAUAAUAAGUGCAUGAUCCUGCUAAAUAAAUAAAAUUUAUUAGGAGGAAUCUCAAUAUGAUAAAGGCUAAGAGAUUUUAUGCUAACACUUAACCAGUUCUAAAAAGCUUUGUUGUCUAUUUGAGCUCCACAGAAUUAAAGGAUCAAAGAAGACUAGCCGGCGGAGGACAUAGUAAUCGCUGUCAGGGUGUUGCCGACAUUCAAAUACACCUCCGUCACCUGCUAGCUACAUCAGAAGAAAUUACGUCAAAAUCCAGCUUAGGGGAGAGUGCCUCCAUUUAUCCAGCUAAGUGUUUCUACUCACGUUUAUACUUUACUCAAAUAAUAAAAAGAUGCAUAAUCAUGAAAACCCAAAUAAAAUUUUUGUGUUUAUAUAUAUCUUUGCUUAGUUUGCUAAAUAAAUAAAUAAAUAAAGUGUCUAGGCCAAACUGAACUUAAAAGAUAAACUCUUACAUGGAUAUGAUAAUAGUUGCUCUGCCAUGUACCUAGUUUUCAAGUUUGAGCCCUCUCUCAAGUUUAGGCAUAACUGUUAUAAUUUAAACCUGCUCUAAACCUGAACUUGUGGGAAGAGUACUUGAUCUAAAGUCUAAGUUGUUAACGGAUAUGAUAUGGGAAGGUUGAGCUGCUGUUUAUCUGUUCCUAGAGAUGCUAGAAUUCUGGAGAAUUUUAUCUUUGAAAAUCUUUAAAAUAUUGCAUGAUGAGUUCCUGUAUGAUGAGAGUUUAAAUUCCUACCACAGCCAUAUAUACAUGCUUACUAGACUUUGAGCCACACAUUUACUUUUUACUGCUUAUGAGCAUUGAGUGUGGUCAAGCUGUGUAGACCCUUAGGAGGUUUUCAUGCGGUUAAAAUCAAGAUUCACUUGCACGUUCACUCAUACAUGCUAGUUCUACUCCGGAAGUACGCAUCCACAUACAUCCACUCAAUUCCAUCUCGAGAGCCACCCAAAAGUAUUCUACUCCUAAUCCGGGAGAGAAUAGCCAAAAACAUUCUCCUAUUUCUAUUUUUCCAUGUGAAAUAAAUGCUCAAGUUAUCUUGGUUACUACCACUUGCUAUAUUAUUUCAGGAUAUGAGUGCUCUAAAAAAGAAAGAAAAAAAGGAGAGAAAGAAUACGAGAAAAUAAAAAGGGGCAAGUGCCCGGAACCUCGAAAGAAAAGAAAAAGUGAGACGAGAGGUAAAAAUGGACAAGUGUCCGAUAGUAGAAUUAGGGGUACAAGAUACCCACCUGAGAGGAAAGAAAAAGAAAAUGUAGAGCAUCUCAUUCUCCUCAAAAAGCUUCAAAGUGCAAGAAAGGUAUGUAUCCCCUAAAAAGAGCAAAAGUAGAAUUAGACUUUCACCAUUGUUAUCACCAUCAUCACCAUACACCAUUCACUCGCAACACAUGCACAUCUUGAUUUGACUUAUUGACUUGAUUCUCUGGAUCCAUGGUUUGACUAUGCAAUAAAUGUUUUGUAAGUAUGUAUUAUCUGUCUCCGACCUAUGAGCUCCAGAUUUCAAAACCUUAUUAGAGUAGGGUGAGAGAGAAGGCAAUAUCACUAUUCCUCAUACCAAAAAUACCACAUACUUUGAGAGAAGGCAUAUACCAUUACUGCCUUGGAAAGGAUCCAGAAAUACCACAAAAGAGAGAUUUGAGAGAGUCAUACAAGGAAUCUCUGAGUUUUAUUUAAAAAUCUGCAAAAACUCCAGAGCUAUAGUUAAUCAAAGAACAAGAGACAUGGCGCUUGACUAGACUGUUCUAUCUUUUAACUCCUCAAGACACAAGUGACGGUUGCAAGCCCCAUGGUGAAAGGGAAAAUGAGUAAGUUUUAAGUCUUAACAGUUUAUUCUAACUCAGAGAUGAGAUCUUGCUUGAAUGCAUGUGUACUUUUAAGGCAUGAAACCACUACAGAAACUCUUGAGUCUAUCCUUGCUCAGGGACGAGCAAGAGGUAAGCUUAGGGGAGUUGUUGACGGUCCUUAAGUACCAAAUAUAAUCAUAAAAUAAAUAAAGAAAAGGAUCCAAAUGCAACCAACACCUAGACUUAGGGUUUUAUCUGACAGAAUUCCACGAGUUUUGGUGUUUGUCUAUUUCUGCAGGGGGUUAGCAGGAAAUAUGGAGGAAAGGCCCACAUCCACAUGUCAGAUUUACAUAGAGAUAUUAACAUGCCGCGCAAUUUUCUAUCAUCUAGAAGACUCCAGAAGCCACGGGAACAAACGGGAGGCCGAGCGAGCCCGGGGGCAGGGCACCCGCCCUCCCCCCUUGGGCGCCCGCCCUGCUAUAGAGGCCAAUCAGGUCCCGUCUCGUGGAUUAUGCUCCACCGACCUAAAGGAUCAAGGAGAACCGUUCAAUCAAUGUCGGUUUGAUCCGACGGCCCAUGUUCACUUGAGGGGACUAUAUAAGCAGGCCCCCUGGCCCCUGGAGGAGGGCAAUCCCAUUAUUCAUUAGCAUAUUUUCCAGAGAGGAUUCAGAAAGAGAGGUUCCUUAGGGUUCCCACCUCAUAGGGCUUAGCAUCCAAUGUGAGAGUAGAACUAGUUCUACUAGAUUGAGAGAGAUAGAGUGGAGGUGUAGAUCGGAGGAAGCCCGGCCUGUCGGUGUCUACUCCGAGGUUGUACCUGCGGGAUCAAGUCUCCUAACCUGAGGCUUGCUCCUAGGAUUGUUUAGUAUUUCGACUUCUAAAUUCUAGUAAGUUCUUGUUCGUAUUGUUCUUUGGUUUAUGAGUUUACUUUAAUCUCUUCCGGUUGAGUUUAGAGUAAUCAUUGCUAGCGUAAACGUGGUGUUUGGGCUAAGGUACUCAUAGAUAUCCCAUGUCUAGCCGGACCGUGGUAGUAGCGAGGAACGUGACAUUUCCGAGUUACCUUUGUAGCCCAUAUCCCGUUAGCAGGAUCAAUAGGGUUUAUAGGUGCGGGUCGAACACCCUUUGUGGUGUCUAGAUUCCGUAAGCCUCCCAAAUAGAACGGAAGAUCAUCCUUACCAAGGUUAGAACGAGAGUGCGGUUGUAGUCUUCUCUAUACAUCGCUCACAUCGAAUCACAUUGUUUGUAGCCUAAAGGGUAGUAGCAAUAGAUUUAGUUAGUCAGAUGCACGCUUUCUCCCAGUGGUAAAAAUAUAAAUACGAUACUCUGAAUAACCUCCCGGGUGAAAUGCUCACCGAUAUCCGUGCGCUUGCGGAUCAUUUCCUGAUGACAUUACCAAAUAUCAACAACUAUGCACUCGUAACUUGGUGGUAAACUGUGAGGCAGCUUCCUUGACUACAGAUGUAGAGAAGCCUCCGGAUCCACUAACAACACCUUCUUCCGAAAGCAUCCAGAUUAAGAAAGUUGGAGAACAACACGUGUUCCUGUACUUAUCUGGUGGCGCAAUGGAGUCGGAUGGGCAUCUGAACUCCAGAGUUUCGCGGCGUCCCAAUUGUGGGAGGCAAUUGUGUGAGUUCAUUUGUAUGAAGUGUAUCAAUUACUGGUUGGAUCACGCUGAUCGAUUCAUUUGAACUCUAUAUGUGAUAAUAAGUUGACGACCUUUGCAGAUUCUAAUGUAAAGAUGGCGGGCCAUCAGAGCGGUGAGCUGUGUGCAAGGGAUUUAGUGAUUUUUGGUUUGGAAGACAGAUCUGGAGCAACAACAGGGUUUGCAUGAGUAACAGAUUGCUCAGAUGUGUCGGUGAGGAAGACGAAUUGCGCUGGCAAGAAGAAGAAUCCAGUAUGUAUUCAGGCAAGGUGCUUAAUCAAAGCAGUACACGACAUUAUUUCUAGAUUUGAUACUAAGAAGAGAAAACUAGUUGAAUCAAUACGAUUUGGUGGCCUUCUAAUGGAGGCGGUGACUGCUGAGAAAUGGAUUGAGGAUAUCCAAGGUGAUCUUUCUGUUGAAGCUUUGUUGGAUUUUCUAGAAUUGUCGAAUUUAAUUUCGAAUGUUGAACUGCAUGGUGGGAUACACGACAAGCACAUUUGGAAAUUUUCGGCUUAAGGAGAAUAUACAGCAAAGUCGGCAUAUGAUGCACUCUUCCAGGGCUCCAUUCAUUUCAGAUCAUAUGAGAGAAUUUGGAAGUUGUGGGCUCCUCCCAAAUGUUGAUUCUUCAUGUGGCUGGUCUCCCAUGACCGGUGUUGGACUGCUGAUAGGCUUGCUCGGCGAGGUCUCCCCCACCCGGACAAAUGCUUGCUUUGUGACCAGGAACAGGAAAACAUUCAUCACCUCCUGAUUGGGUGCGUUUUCGCUAGGCAGUUCUGGUUUUCCCUCUUGGAGCGUGUUGGUCUCUCCUCUCUAACACCUCAGCCCGAUGAUUCAUCUUGGGAGGACUUGUGGGGAAAAGAUGAAGCCGCUACCACUGGGGAUGUAAGAAAAGGCUUAAACUCCAUCAUCAUCCUUGGAGCCUGGAGCAUCUGGAAACAUUGUAAUGACUGUGUCUUGAAUGGGGCUGAUCCAAACAUUACCGCAGCCCUAAGUAUGGCUAGAAAUGAAGCCCACUGGUGGUGCUUGUCAGCAGCAAAGGGUCUCUCCUUGCUCACGGCAUGGGGCUCCUAGUUCUUUAGCCAGUGUUGGGCAUUCUUAACGUCACUACCAAAAGUAGACUUAGUUUUCUAAUUCUGAUAACGGCGCCAAAAAUGCCAAACCUAUCCCUCAUACCACUUAAGCCAAGUUGUCAUCCCCAGCAUGACAUGAGAGACGCGGUAUUGAAAUAUACAAUUGCUCUUCUAAAUAAAUAAUAAAUGGGAUCUGCAAGCGCACAGAUUAAUACCGAUGUAGCAUUUUAACCGGGAAGUAUUCCAGGUAUCGUUAUUUAUAUUUUUACCACUAGGAAGGGAUUGCUAAACAUCAAUGUUGAUUAUAGAAUGAAAUAUAGAAUUGAGUAUCUAUCAUUGCAUAUAUAAUUGAGAACAUUUAUCUAUCUCUUUCAUACAGGGAUAAGUGUCACAUGAAAGAUAUAUAAAGUAUGAAUGGUGACAAAGAUAAUUAAUCUGAUCAGCAUAACUUAGCCACAUAAUAAAUAUGAUAAGCACCUCAAUUAGAUAUUCUAGCAAGUCAUUAGCAUGAAAUUAGAACGAACUACAAGAAUAUUUCCUAAGUUAUUCUCAACUAUACAGUCUAGCAUAUCAUAGUUAGUGCAAUUAUACUUGGCAAUCAUUGCGAGACAGGACUACGUCCAUGCAUAGUGAUAUUAUCAAGGAAUAUGAGAAACAUCGCAAUUACUCCCCUGUAAUAAUGUUGCUCUACCAGCCCAAUACACGAGAGGGGGACUAUAUAAGAAUCAAUGGUGCUGUCACUACCACGAACUACCCCGCGGUCUGGCAUAUAGGGUACAAUCGUAGAUAAAUACGGUAUAGGCACCACGCCUACACAAUACUUAUCAUUUACCCACUGUACACAUGGAUAAAUGCUAUACGAUCCUAAACAUGUAUAUAAUUCCAAUCUAACUAAGCCAAGUAUAUAACUAUGAUAAACUAAGAACAAUAUAAUUGCGAAUAUAAACAAGUAGAGCAAAGUCAUAAUCAAUAUAUUGAAGUAGAACAAAGUCAUAAUCAUAAUAUUGAAGAACAAAGAUGAACAAUUGAAGAACAAUAGAGGAAUUACCAAGAAUCCUCUUGACAGAUUCGGAAACCAAUCGAAGAUUGACUCCUUCUAGUUCUAAUCCUAUGUAGCUAUGCUAAUCUAGAGAUCUAAUUGAUGUGGUGGCUCUAGGGCUUGAUCAGAGGCUUCUUCUCCCAAGAUGAAUAAUGAAUUAGGGUUGACAGUCUCUCUCCUCCAGGGGCUAGUGGGUCUGGUUAUAUAGUCCUUCCAAGUGAAUAUGGGCCGUCGGAUCAAACCGACAUUGAUUGAACGGUUAUCCUUGAUCCUUUAGGUCGGUGGAGCAUAAUCUGCGAGAUUGGCUGUAAUUGGCCUCAAGGCCAGGGCGGGCGCCCAAGGGGGAGGGCGGGCGCCCUGCCCCCGAGCCCGUCCGAUCUCCCGUUUGUUCCCGUUGCUUCUGGACUCUUCUAGAUGUUAGAUAAUUGCGCGGCACGUUAAUAUCUCUAUGUAAUCCCGACGUGUGGGCCUUUCUUCCGUAUUUUCUGAUAACCCCUUGCAGAAAUAGACAAACACCAAAACUCGUGGAAUUCUGUGAGAUAAAACCCUAAGUCUGGAUGUCGGUUGCAUUUGGAUCCUUUUCUUUAUUUAUUUGAUAAUUAAAUUUGAUACUUAAGGACCGUCAACAGCCUGCUCGGUCGAUGUUUCCUUAGAUUCUGACGCUUAAGUCUUAGUGAUCAGGGUUGGCAUAGAUAUGUGUGUGGAUGUGUGUGUUUUUCUAUUUGUGUGUGUGUCUAUGUAUGACUCCUCUUCCUUCUUUUAAUGCAAUGAUACUCAGCUCUCCUGCGUGUUCGAGAAAAAAAAAUUUCCCUAGAUAAAGUCUACAAAUAGACGGUUCUCCGCAUGGUUGAUGGGAUUGGUUAAUGUGAGAAAUUCAUGCUUACAAUUGCUUGAUGGGACCACCUUGAAAUUCUACAGUGAAGAUAUAGGGCUUGUGUUCGGCAUUCCCUCAGGGGGAAGAAGGUAAGCGAAGCUGGUCAACGGACAAGGAGAGAAUGAAACUUCGGUGCUGGCCAUUAAUAGGAAAAGAUCAACAUAGUAUAAAGGUAGUUGAAGAACUAGUCAGUACUACUUACAUAGAUAGUAUGACACCUGAGAAAGAAGAUGCUUUCAGAGUUGCUUUUGUGGUAUUUGUGAUGUCAACUCUGUUCGUCCCAGGGGCAAAACAUGAUUAUGUCCAUGUGGACUACUAGGGUGCCCGAACCAACCCAAAUACUAUCCAUGAGUUCGACUGGGCUGCCUAUGUAUAUAAACGAUUACUAGCAGCAGCUGCAAAGUUUAAGGCAGACAUCAAGACAGGGAGCAGAUCACCAAAUAUAACUGGAUGCUACCUAUUCCUUCAGCUAAUUAUUCAACUAGGAAUAGCAAUUGUGGUCAAUUUUGAAACACUACGACUUUUUUUUGGAACUAACCAGUAUUUUUUAAUCUUCACAAUGUCCAUAUAUACAGUUGUUCUACCUAGACAACAUUGAGCUUUGCAAGUGGGGACUUGAUCAUUCUGUGCUUCCAAGGAUUUCUUGUUUCACAUAUGAUAGAAUACGGAGUAUGGUCGCAGCUGACACACAAGAUAAGAUUCCAGGAGAAACUAGGUGUUUGUUUGGGAAAUCAAAGGUUAGAUAAUGAAAAAAGAAUGUUUUCCAUGAGAAAUAAAAAAGAAAUCAACUUUGGUGCCAAACAACUAAUUAGAUAAUGAAAAAAGAAUGUUUUCCAUGAGAAAUAAAAAAGAAAUCAACUUUGGUGCUAAACAACUAAUUCUAUAUGAUUGUAGGUAAGACAACGGGAGCACUCAUGCUACACAUGGGCAACUGGCAAUGUGGGUGAGCACGUAGUUGAUGAAAAAGGGACUCAAGUAUCAUUGUGGCAUGCUGUCAGAAACCCUGCUCCGACUGCACCUAGACACAACGGCGACAAGAACAUCGACGUCCACACUCAAGUGCACGACGUUGCCCAGGAAAGCUUCAAUGGGCCAGAAGCCAGGCGUGGCACCAGGAAGCGGAGGCCCAGUACAAGAAUCCAGGGUCCAGAGUGGAAGUAGAAGCCAGCUGUAAGAGAGUGCCGUGAGCCGGUAGCUUAAGUAUUGGUUGGCUGGGAGAGAAGGCAGAUGAAAAACAAGAACAACUCUGUAAUAUUAUUGCCACUCCUCUGUUCUAUGAGAUUCAUCCUCUGUUCUACGAGAUUCAUCUGAACCUAUCCUUGUUGCUGUGCUUCCUAUCUUGUUCUAAUCCGUUUCACAGCUUACAUCUGGUAUCAAAGACAGUCUAUCCUUUCCGCUCUCCUUCUGUUUAUCCUGUGCGUUUCGUUGAUCGGUUGCAACAGCCCCGGGUUCGAGAUUGGAUCGAGUUGCUCGAUCUUUGAUCUCUGUAAUUCCCAGCACGCCACUGGUCCGAUUCGCAAUCUGCGCUGGAGUACACUUCCCAGCGCACUCCACCACCGCCGCCGCCGCCGCCACACCCCUACUACACGCGCUUCGCUCGCCGACGCGACGCGAUGAAUCCUGAUUCGAAGAUGCUGCUCGACGAGAUGCACCGGCUGUUCCAGGAGUCUGACCGCAAGUGGGAUGCGCGUUUCGCGGAUGCGGACCGCAAGUGGGACGCGCGCUUCGCGGAAUGCAGCUGUGAUCUGGAGCAGCGUCUCGGCGACAUUGACGAAUCCAUCAUCAAGCGUUUCUCCGAUGCCGACGACGCCCUCACCACGCGCUUCGCCGAGUCCGACCUCAACUGGGAGCGGCGCAUCACUGAUUCGGAGAUCCGCCAAGCGGAGCUCGUCGUUGCGGCUGAGCUGCGACAGGAGGCGCGCCUCACCGCCGUUGUCAAGGCCACCGGAUCUCUGGAGUCCUGGCGCCAGGAGUCUGAGGGAGCGGUGGAUGAUCUCAAGUUGAAGAUGAGCAAGCUCACGAAGUACAUGGAUCGCUCCGUCAUCGACAACCCCUCUGCGUCGAUUGGCGUGAUCUCAUCGGCUCCAUCGUCUGUUGAGCACGCCGCCGCGCACACACCUGCGGACUACUCGGCUGCUCGGCCCAGCGGGCACGGCGUCCUUCCGACUACACGGGUGGAUGGACUUGGGGAAAUUUUCUCCCAAAUCCAUUCCCCGGCCAAUGGUAUGCAUGUCAACCCGCAACAUCCCUUACCUGUUCAUGCAUUCCAUUCCAACAAUGUCAUCUAUGAGGAAAACCAACCCAAUUCCCAUCGCUUACCCAAAUUCAAUUUCCCUACCUAUGAUGGUGACACUACUAAAUUGUGGAUUUCCCAAGCCGAGGAUUAUUUUGAUAUGUAUGGAGUUCCACCACGGUUGUGGGUCAGAGUUGCCGGUAUGCACUUUAAUGGUGCUGCCAAGCGCUGGAUUCAGUCCUUAGACCGCCCAAGUCACCUAAUACCUUGGACUGAAUUUUGUCAGCUCCUACUGGAUCGCUUUGCACGCAAUCAGCACGAAACCUUCCUUCGUCAAAUGUUUCACAUCUCCCAGUCUACAACUGUCAUUGAUUAUGUGGAACGUUUCUCCUCUCUAGUUGAUCAACUGAAAGCCUACACUAAAACUCCAGAUAUGCAUACCUAUGUUACUCGCUUUGUCGAUGGUCUUCGCUCUGACAUUCGUGUUGUUGUUGCUAUGCAACGUCCACCAAACCUCGAUACUGCGUAUUCGUUGGCAUUGUUGCAGGAGGAGGUGUCGGCGCCGCCGCCCAAGAGUGACUAUCCCCGGUUUGGCAACACCUCGGGAUUCAAGAACCAUCUGAAGAAUGCCUUACCGCUACCUCGUCCACCGCAUGCAGACAAGCCUCCAGAGCCUGCUGCAGUCCUGCCCAAGGUCACUCCAGUUGCUGCUGACAAACUUUCAGAACUGCGACAGUUUCGCCGAGCUCAGGGACUGUGUGACCGUUGUGCAGAAAAGUGGUUUAGGGGACACAAAUGUCCUCCAACUAUUCAGCUCCAUGUUAUGCAGGAAUUGUGGGAUCUCCUUGCUAGUGAAGAGGAGCUGCCUGAACAAGCUGAAGAUACCUCUGAACAGUUGUUGCUGGCCUUGUCCCCUGAUGCUCGGAUGGGAUCCAAUGGGCCUCGAACGAUUCAGUUCCAUGGCACUAUUCAUGGUAAGGCAAUCGUAGUCUUAGUUGACUCUGGCAGUUCGGCAUCAUUUUUAGCCGCUUCUGUAGCUGAUCAACUUCCACAGCUCCAGCGUUCCCCAUUGAGAGCCUCUGUCAAGAUUGCCAAUGGUCAGUUGAUGAGUUGUGAUUCCGCAAUUCUGGGUUGUCAGUUGCUUCUGGAUGGUCAUCUAUUUCAACAUGAUCUACGUAUUCUCCAUCUCGAUUCAUAUGACUUGAUUUUGGGCAUGGACUGGCUUGAGUUGUACAGCCCCAUGCAAAUUCAUUGGCAAGCUAAGUGGAUCUCUCUGCCACACAAUGAAACAACGGUGCUGCUUCAAGGCCUGUCAGCACCAACUGACUCAGACUUGGUAUUCCAGCUAGUAGCUCAUGUUCCAGAGACUUCUCGGAAUGAUGCUGACCUGCCCGCGGAUAUCGCUGCCUUGCUGACCGAAUUUCCAUCAGUUUGUUCCACACCUACUACCUUACCACCGCCUCGGUCGUGUGAUCACCUAAUUCCCUUGGUCAGCGGUGCUACGCCAGUCAAUAUUCGAGCAUAUCGGUAUCCACCAACUCUGAAGGAUGAAAUUGAGCGGCAGGUUCAAGAUAUGUUGGAUAAGGGUUUUAUUCAGCCGAGCUCAUCUCCUUUCUCAUCCCCAGUACUCUUGGUUCGCAAAAAAGACGGUUCAUGGCGUUUUUGUGUUGACUAUCGCUACCUCAAUGCCAUGACCAUCAAGUCGGUGUAUCCGAUUCCUGUAUUUGAUCAGCUGGUUGAUGAGCUCGGUACGGCCAAGUGGUUCUCUAUACUGGACUUACACUCUGGCUAUCAUCAGAUUCGCUUGCAACCCGGUGAAGAAUUCAAGACAGCAUUCUCCACUCAUGCUGGUCACUAUGAGUUUACUGUGGUGCCUUUCGGUCUGUCAGGGGCUCCAGGGACAUUCCAAGGGGCCAUGAAUACGACUCUCACCCCACUCCUGCGGAAAUGUGUGGUUGUAUUCUUCGACGAUAUAUUGGUGUACAGCAAUUCUUAUGAGGAGCACUUGCAACGCCUACAUCAGGUCCUGACCUUAUUAGCCAAAGAUCAGUGGAUUGUCAAGUUAAAAAAAUGUAAAUUCGCUCAACAGGAGAUUCGCUACCUCGGCCACAUCUUGAGUGCACAGGGGGUACACACUGACCCUGACAAAGUGGCUGCAGUUCUGAAUUGGCCACCACCAGCGAAUGUCCGUGAGCUCCGUGGCUUUCUAGGCUUGGCUGGCUUUUAUAGAAAGUUUGUGAAACAUUUUGCUAUUCUGGCCCGACCACUCACCGAUCUCCUUAAAAAGCACUCGCUCUUUGUGUGGACCUCAGAACAUCAAGCUGCCUUUCAAGCCCUGCAGCAGGCCCUUUGCUCGGCUCCUGUCCUUGGCAUUCCGGAUUUUUCCAAGCCCUUCGCCAUCGAGACUGAUGCUUGCCACAAUGGUGUCGGUGCUGUGCUUUUACAGUCUGGUCAUCCUCUGGCAUAUGUCAGCAAACCAUUGGGCAUAAAAACUCAAGGCCUUUCAACUUAUGAAAAAGAAUAUUUGGCAAUUUUGGUGGCCAUUGAGAAGUGGCGCUCAUACCUCCAGCUUGCUGAAUUUGAAAUCCAUACUGAUCAAAAAGCUCUCAUUCACUUAAAUGAUCAGAGGCUGCAUACAGUGUGGCAGCAAAAAGUUUUCACUAAACUCUUGGGCUUGCAUUAUAAACUUGUUUACAAGAAAGGUACUGAGAACAGCGUAGCCGAUGCUCUCUCCCGGCGUCAGCAUCCCCCUGAGUUAUGCUAUGCUCUUUCCAUAGUUACACCAUCCUGGUGCUCUGAUCUCCAAAAGAGUUAUCAGACCGACACUCAAGCGACUAUGCUGCUGACUAAAUUGGCUACUUCUCCAACAUCAGUACCCCACUUCUCCUUGGUAGAUGGCAUCCUUCGCUUCAAGGGCCGUAUUUGCGUGGGAAAUAAUUCAGUCUUGCAACAACAGUUGAUUCAGCAUAUGCACAGUUCUCCAGUGGGCGGUCACUCAGGCAUUCCUGCCACAGUUAAGCGCAUUCGAUCACUUUUCGCCUGGUCAGGACUACGGAAGCAUGUCACUGAGUUCGUCCAGAGCUGUUCAGUUUGCAAGCAAGCCAAACCUGAACGAGUUCGUUACCCAGGUCUCCUUCAGCCCCUUCAGACUCCAACGGCAGCUUGGCAGGUGAUAUCACUCGACUUUGUGGAAGGCCUACCUCAGUCCAACGGUUACAACUGCAUUUUGGUUGUCGUUGAUCUUUUCUCUAAGUAUAGUCAUUUUGUGGCUUUGAAGCAUCCUUUCACCGCUCUGUCAGUCGCUAAACUGUUCAUGGUGCACAUCUAUCGCCUUCAUGGUCUUCCUACAGCUAUGGUGUCGGAUCGUGACCGUAUCUUCACCAGCCAACUUUGGCGCGAGCUGUUUCGUUUGGCAGGUGUCGAACUCCGAAUGAGUUCGGCCUACCAUCCCCAGUCUGAUGGCCAGACCGAAAGGGUCAACCAAUGCAUGGAAACUUUUCUUCGCUGCUUCGCCAAUGCUACUCCUUCAAAGUGGUUCGACUGGUUACACUUAGCCGAGUUCUGGUAUAACACAACUUGGCACUCUUCCUUGCAACGAUCACCAUUCCAGGUGCUGUAUGGACAUUCGCCUCGCCAAUUGGGCAUUGAUUCUUCAGCAGCCUGUUCUGUGGACUCGAUUGAGGAGUGGAUGAAACAGAAAACAGAGAUGCAAGCACUGAUUCAGCAUCAUUUGGCUCGUGCCCAGAAUCGUAUGAAGCUUCAGGCUGACAAGAAACGCACAGAGCGUAUUUUCAAGGUUGGCGAUUGGGUAUACAUCAAGCUGCAACCUUACAUACAGACAUCUGUCGCCCCUCGAGCAAACCAGAAAUUGGCAUAUCGUUUCUUUGGCCCGUACAAGGUUCUGGAGAAGAUUGGAUCUGUAGCUUACAAAUUACAGCUGCCUCAAGAGUCCUCGAUCCAUCCAGUGUUCCAUGUAUCCCAACUGAAAGGUGCUAUCCCAAUUUCUCAUACUACUUCACCUUUGCCAGUAUCCUUCGCUGGUCUGCAGGUUCCAGAACGCAUUCUUCAGAAGCGUGUUGCUGCUGUUGGUUCGGAGGUGCGCCUCCAGGCCCUGAUCCAAUGGAGCGGCUUACCUUCGGCUCUAGCAACAUGGGAGGAUGUCGAGGCCCUUCGUCAGCGCUUCCCUCGAGCACCAGCUUGGGGGCAAGCUGGAUCCUAUCGGAGAGGGGAUAUCAGCAACCCUGCUCCGACUGCACCUAGACACAACGGCGACAAGAACAUCGACGUCCACACUCAAGUGCACGACGUCGCCCAGGAAAGCUUCAAUGGGCCAGAAGCCAGGCGUGGCACCAGGAAACGGAGGCCCAGUACAAGAAUCCAGGGUCCAGAGUGGAAGUAGAAGCCAGCUGUAAGAGAGUGCCGUGAGCCGGUAGCUUAAGUAUUGGUUGGCUGGGAGAGAAGGGAGAUGAAAAACAAGAACAACUCUGUAAUAUUAUUGCCACUCCUCUGUUCUACGAGAUUCAUCUGAACCUAUCCUUGUUGCUGUGCUUCCUAUCUUGUUCUAAUCCGUUUCACAGCUUACACAUGCUGUAGUUAGAAUGGCCAUAAUUCUUAGAGUGCCACUAGAGGUAAAAAAUUAAUGCAGUUUCAACUUGAGAUCAUAAUACUUCUUAUCAACAAAUUUUAUGCACAAAAUCUGAUUUUGUUUUAUUGGACGAUACGAAAAAGGUGACAGGUCCCCUUUUCCUCGCUGCAGCUGAGUUGCACAAAAAGAGUCAAAGCAACAACCCACAGUCUGGAAUAGAGUGCAUCAAUAUAUUGCUGGACAUAAUGGCACCAUUUGUCAAAGGUUUCAGAUACAACUGUGAUUUGGAGUGCAAAUCAACGGUGAGAUGCGCUAUUUUCCAAUGUUGUGCUAUCACAUAAGUACUAUAGCAAUUAUUGUUUUGACUUUAAAUACUGUAUCAAUAUUGAAUUCUCUUAAUUUGCUACUUUUCAUAUAACAGAUAGCACUAAAAAUAUUGUCAUCGAUGUACAAACAAUAAUGACACUGCAAAUGGGAAUGGCAAUAGGGGGAUAUCCAACAGGGUGAUGCAGCAUCGAGCUCAGGGUGUGUAAGGCCUGCACUACUAAAUUUUUACCCUAUUGCACUGCCUAAUUUUUGAUGUUAUAGGGCUAAAAUUGAUGCGAUAGCUCAGUAUCUCAUCAAUUUCUCGUUUGAUGGGAGCCGAUGCAAGUGGUCUUGAUGCAAUAUCCUUUCGCAUCGGUUUGUUGUGGCUGAUGUGAGAAGCAGCUAUUGCAUCGUCCAUCCGUUGUCUCUUGCAUCAAAAAUGAGAGAUGCAAUAGCUUAUUGCAUCAAAAUCAUACUGAUGCAAUACAUCAAUUGCAACAACUAACGUUGGGUGCAAUAGUGUAUAUUGCAUCAAUAUUAUGUUUGAUGCAAUAGAACCUAUUGCAUCACCAUUUUGGUUCGGUGCAAUAUGAACUAUUGCAUCGACUUUAUGUUCAAUGCAAUACAAACUAUUACAUCGACGUGAGGUUGGGUGCAAUACAAACUAUUACAACGACAUGAGCUUCGAUGCAAUACAAACUAUUGCAUCGACAUGAGGUUUGAUGCACAAGGAACUAUUGCAUCGAUAUGGUGUUUAUGGGAACAUAAUGAAUUAAUUGCACAAAAAUUCAUAAAAUUACAAAAUUCAAUGGCACAGAAAGGCAAUCAUAUUAAUAACUUGGAUCAUCAUCAUUCAAUAGUUUGUACAAUAUAAGAAAGUCAAAGGCCUUCCUACUUCAAAGAAGAUAAUUGCAAAGUUCAAACUGCAUUACAAACCACUAACUUAUGUUACAAAAAGGCAAUCAUAAACAAAAAUACAUGUCUCUUAGCAUAGGUGAACAUGACAUCUUUCUCGUUGCAUAAUAUUUGAUUCAAUUCAGCUUGCCAAGACUCCCUCAAUGUUGAUUGUCCUAAAAAAGUCAAAAUGACAUUCAUUAGUAAUAUAUAGUUGAUCACACAGUGGAACCAAAAAUAGACAGCUCAUAGCCCAUGCAAAAGAAAGGUUGUUCUGUACCAGAUAAAUGAAAGAAGAGAAUAGAUAUUCCAUCUUCCAUAUUAUAUCGUACAGAAACAUACAUGUAUAAGUGGACAAAGUUGAUGUCAAUAAUCUGGACAACAACUUAAGAUGACACCUGAUUCAUGUAUAAGAUUUCCAGCUCAUACCUUUCCUCCUUUCUUUCUUGUAUCUCGCUUUUUAUUUGCAGCACUAUUCCUCAAUGUUUGUGAUGUAAUAAAUCUCACUGACUCACUACUGCCUUUGUCAUUUGUGAAAAGUGAUCUGUUGGCAUUGCUGCCAGUUAGGCGACAAGGUGGGAUUCUCAUUUGUUUGGUCAAUAAUACACUGUCUGCUACGGUCUGCAAAAACCAGAAGAUUUGAAGGAGCAAUCACGACUUUAGCAUUUCUAUGAAUCUGUUAAACUAUAGGUAUACAUGCAGUAGUCAAGUAAAUAAAUCAUAACUAGAGAUUUACAAGUCCAAAUGACAUGCAGCAAGACAUUCUGGAAAUCUUAUGGAAUUGCCUACAUUUCAUCUUCAAUCAUACAAACAUUAUUCUCAAGUUUAACAGGUCGAAAUUACAUAAGUACAGAAAUCUAUCAUGUCAAGACAGAGAGCAACCAAACGUAUCACCUAACUUUGCACAGCUGUGGUAUGCAAACCAUAGGGUCAAUUACCAUGAACUUUUAGAAGCAGAUAGAUACAUGAAUUGUCUACAACUUUUGUAUUGACAUGUUUUUCAGAGAAUCAAAUUAACAUGGUGAAUUUUGCAAAGUUUUUAAAAUUGUCCCGAAAUACAAUCAAAACCAGACAACAAACUUAUUAAGCAUGUAACUCAUAAACCAUCAGACCUAGGAACAUGAAAAUUUAUCACAACCAAGAUAAGAUAAUUAUCUACAACUUUGGUAUUUAUUAAAACCAUAGAAAACAUCAUUUCCACCUCAAAAAUAAUUGCACAAUCAAAACUGCAUAUGCUGCCCAAACAGUAGAGGUACAAACAUAGACAAAAAACUGAUAUUACCUGUUGCACAUGUUCUGGUCCUUGGCUGGGGGUGGGAACAAUAGUUGGUCCAUUAGAAGGCUCAUUAUGUGUGGCCAGGGCAGUUUCUGUACCAGCCUUCAUAUUGAAAAAAAAAGAUGCACACAUGACCUCAAGAUUAAAUGUAUGUAUCCAAUACAUUGCAGGUUCCAUUUAUCAAAAAAUAAUACCUGUGCCAAAUCUGCAACUUCAUUUUCACUAACUUUAUUAUAAAUACUAGUAGUAGUAUUGGUAGUGAAUUCUUCAGGCUGAGGGGCUGUAGUGGUUGGUGCAGCAUUCUUGCAUUUGCGUUAUAAGGAGAAACAUUAGCACUGAAGCAUUGUUAAAAUACAUGAUAUUGCUUACAGUUGAGAAUUAGAAUUAUUACCAAAGGCGGUGCUUGAUUGUGUUGUUUGAUUAGCAAAAAAACUCUUGCCUUAGUUCUUCUCUAAUCUUGUUGCCUGUACUCUCCAGUUGUUGUUCUAGCUGCUGAAUUUUUUCCUUGUCUUUCUCCCUCUCUGCGGCUUCAAUGGAAAGCUGUUCUUUUAACUUCUGUACCUCAGCUUGCAUCUCAGUAUUCUUCUGUUGGGCUGCUGCUGCUUAUGCAGCUGCAUGAGCUUGCUCUUCAAUUCGUUCAUUCAUCAGUUGGCUUCGGGUCGGAUACUUUGCCAAGUAUCCAUGUCCAGGACCUUUCAUGCUCUUGCAUCCAGCGGUUUCCUUGUAGGUUUCACGAAGAAUGUGCCUUUCUUGUUCCUUUGAAAUCAUAGAAGCGUCCAACUCAAUUCUCUCUACAAUUUUGGAGAAGGUGCUUUCCUAAAAUUAAGAACACAGUUAGUGUUUUUAGCUUUAGCAAGUAGCAAUAGGAGUUGCAGUUCAAGUAAAAUAAGAAUUAGGUAAAAUGGAUACUUUGGAAAUUGAACUAUAUCAAUUAGAUUCAUGUACUACUUACUUCCUCUAAACAUCGAAGUCCAUGUUAAUCAUGGAAAUAUGUUUGCUUAGCAAAGCAUGUUGAGAGCUAAAAAGCAAUGGACAGUUGAGCACUAGCAUUUUAAAGAAUUAUAUCACAUUCAAGAGAUAACGAACACAAGGACAAAGAGAGGACUGAACACAAGUUUGAGGAUAGAUAACUAUAUCAUUCACGUAACAUAUUUACAGCAGAAAAAAACUUGUUCAGAUAACUCAUGAGUUAACUAUAUGACAUGUAUAGUAACGAACAAAGUAGUACUUACAUAUAUUUCCUUAGCAGCAUCAGAAGAUCAUCGACCUUCCUUGCUGCGUGUACUCCUCCAAAGUGCCAAAUCAUCUGGCUUAUCACCAGUCUCUAGGUUUCUCUGAUAUGAGAAAAUUGAAUAAUGUAACUGUUUAGGUAAAAAAUAAGAUUAGGUAACAUAUCCUUACCUGCUCAUAACUAACUUGUGAAAAAGGUUUUGAUCCUGUAAGAUGUAGUGUCUGUCGAUGCUGAGAAUUGCUAGAGUUUGUGUUGCUUAUUCGCUAAUAUAAACACAGAUAUGUUAGUUGCACUAAAAAAAUACAGAAAAUAAUGACAUAUAUGUCAGAGGUCUGGAACCUGAAAUUUGUCACUUCCAAAAUAUAACACGAAGUAGUGCCACUCGACAAUGUCCAAAUCUUCUGGCUUAUAACUCAUUCUUUGAUGGUAACUAUUGUAUGCCUUGUACGUGGAACUCAAUUGAGCUCGCCAUCCUCUGUAAUGCUCCUUUGCAAUCUUCCAUAUCCUAGCCUUCUCAACAUCAUUAUUUUCAAUGUUCCACCUAACCUUCUCAUGACCAACAAAUUGUGAACAAUUUAGAUAUUAGAAAGAAUUAAUUUAGCAUAUGCGGGAGGAAGACUGUAACAUACCAUUAUAUCUCGUGCUAUUUUAUCUUUAACAUUUUGAUCUACAUCUCCCCACUUUUGAACUCCAAUAUGUGGAGUCCUUUUCCUUGUAAACUUUACUAUUUCAUCAAUAAACGCGCGAUAGUUUUCUCCUAUAGGGCCGCCUUGCGUGGAUGAGAAAUCUAUACUAAGUUUAUGACUACCAAGUUUAAAUCUCUUAGCAUCGACCGAUAAACCUUUAACGGUUCCACGCCCAAUCUUUCUCUUGUCGCCAACCCCUACAAUAAAAAUGAUAUUAUAAAAUUGAACGUUUGUAAACAUUAAAAAUCAGCAUUUUUAUAUUAUAGUAUUGUCUGAACACUCUGGACCAUUGCAUACCUUUCUGAGAGGCCUUUGGCCUGCGAGCAUGAGAUGGAAACUGCAUUGGUGUUACGCUGUUGUCACCACUUCCAUCUUCUUCAAUGGUUUCAUCAUCUAAAAAUCCAUCUGCACAUACAAACAAGUGAAAGUACACACUUACAAUGGAGUUGGAAAUAUAUACAUCAAGUUGUACUAGUGCUAAGAUAAUUCAAAUUCAGAUUACGAAUAUCUUGAAGAAGCCCAUUCUGCCUCAACCAUUCUCUAUAUGUUGCAACAGUAUUCAGCCGGGUGUCAUCCUUAAAUUCUGCGAAAUACAUAUAGAUGUUAUAUAUGUAGUGUGAGUUUUAGAACAAUACCUAAAGUUCAUUUAGAUGUAUUUUUCUAGUACAUUAUUACCUAGAUUGUUUUCAUCCUGUGGCAGCUCCUGAAGCCACACCUUGUAUGCAUCAAUGUCUUCAUCCUGAAUUCCAUUUCCACUAACUUUCUCAUGUGUACUACGUUGCUUAAUGGGUGUAAUUGAAUAUUGUCCUUCUCGAUCUUGCUGAGUUGUUGAAACUGCUAACCUAACUAUAUUUUCUUCUAAACAAUCUUCUAUCAUUGCUAAUGCAUCUUCUUCGUAAUCUAUAGGCAGCAGCAAAGCUCUAUCGUUGCCACAUCUCUUGAAAAAGUACAUGAAGUCCCUCGAAGAAUAACCCAUCUUAACUUUGAACUUUAAUAAAUUGGCAAAGGUGACUCUAGCACGGUCAAUGUCCAAUAUGGCACGACUCUGGUCCUUGGGCCCCCUGAGAAAUCAAUAAGUACUUGCCAAAUAUCUCCCAUUUUCCUACAGAAAAAAUAUUUUAACUCAACAUAAGUUCAGGAAAUACAGUGAAUGCCAUGGCCUUGUUUGGUUCAGGAAGUAGUUAUAAUAGGUCGCAAACACAUGUUAAGUUACAGACAAUAAUAAUCAGUAUUUGAGAAUGAUAUGUAGACGCCACUAAAAAAUGAUGAUAACAUCCAGAAACACUUGUUAAUUGAAUAUAAUAAUUAUCAAUAUACUGGUGUGCUGCAUCAAGCUGCUCGGCAGAGUGAAGUCUUGAAAACAAAAUUAUUUUCGAAACUAAAAUGUUCAAUAUGCAUCCACAAACAAAGGUAAAAUAUUAAUCUUUGCAGCAACUAAGCUUUUGAAUGCCAACUCCAUGAGCAACCAUCCCCAUGCCCCCUAUAUCUAUCGUGACCUGCAAAUUUAAUUUUAGAAUACUCCAACUCAUUCAGAAAUCAAUGGCACUUCAAGAAUAACAAACCCAUGGCAGCUAAUUUCUAUCAGCUAAUUCAGAGGUUAAAUCUGAGGUUAUUGCCGACUCAAGAAACAAUUAGCAAUUGCCUUUUAAGACAUAGAAGGGAGUAAUUCAUGAGUAACUCAAGAAAUAAUUAGCAAUUAGCAAUUUGGAAUUAGGAAUUUUGGGAUUUUACGAGAACCUCUUGCUGGACCUGGACGUAGGAGAUGGGGAUCUCAUGGACGGAGGAGACGGCGAGGACGGUGGAGUCGGCAACCUCGUGGUGGACGGCCUCCGCGGUGGUGGUGGCGACGUCGAGCUCCUGGUGAACGGCCGCUGCGGAGGUGGUGGCGAUGACAGCCUUAGUGUGGUCUUCUCCAUUGCGGCCGGGAGUGGAGAAGGUGCGAACACUGCCACACGUUCGGGCAUUAGCACCGGUCGGGAAGGGCCUGUUGCCCCGGUUCCCGAGCCGGUGCUGCCCUUCCGGGACUAAAGGCCCAUCCUUUAGUCCCGGUUCGGGUAACCGGGGCUAAAGCCCCCCCAUUAACACCCAACCGGUGUUAAUGGGUCCUGCCAGGGCUGCCACGUUGCAGGACCCUUUACCAACCGGUGUUAAAGGGUUUCUUUUUCUUUUUUUUGGUUCACUUCUUUGGUUCUGUUUAUUGUUAGUAUAUAAUAUAUAAUAAUAGAUUUUUCAAUACAUGUUUUUCUGAUACAAUAAUAUAUUUAUAUUACACGCAUAUUAAGCAUAAAUAAAUGAAAAUUAUAGGCUUAGCCUUAAUAAUUAAGCUUUGCCUAUAAUAAAAUGAAUAGGCCACAUCAAAAAUUAAAUAGAUAUGUAAAAAGCUUUAUAUAUAUAUAAUUUUAUAUGUACAAAAUUCGUAACACAUAUAUACAUAGAGUUUUUUCUCCCAAUGUCUACAAAUGGUCAUCGUUGUUUGGAAUAAGAGUUUCGUUGCCGUUGAAGUGAAACUCGCCGUUUAGAUUGAUCACUUGGUCGCGGAGAAAUCCUGCUAUCGUCUCUUGGAUAGCUUUGAUUCGGUCUUGUUGUAGGACCUUUUCCCUCAACCAUUCCGUCUUUAAUUUGAAAUAAAUAAAAAAGGUAUUAGUUAUCUAAGUUAUUCAAUAUAAUUCAGGAGAUAAUGAAAAGAGACAUGUAACGUACUCUGAGCGUCUCUGUAGGUGUUUGAUUGACUUGUGUCAUCAUGAAUUUGCACACGUAAUAUGCACAUAGAUUGUUCCCCCCUUCUUGUCUUAAACACCACUGUACGAUAUAUAUAUAUAAAAUAUUCACGACUACGACAAUAAGAAGGCUACAAGUUAGCGAAAGUUUGCUAGCUAGUAGAACUUACUUGUGGAUGUAUUAUGUUAAGCGGCGCUUUACAUCCACUGAGAUGUUCACGGUCAAUGAAUCUUUCCCAAACCCUACACACAGCCAUUGUGGAUCGUGAACUAAUAAUUACAGAGUCAUAUUAUGAUAUUCUUCUAGCUGAGAUCGACAUUACGUAACUUUGAAUAAUGUUUACCAUUUGUUGAUAAUUUUCUUGUGGUUUUCUCAUGGAGUCAAAGAUUAUCAACCGGUUCUUGGGAAUUUCAAUGACCAUGAGUAUCCAGUGAAAGCUGUUUACACACAUAUAUAUAUAGUCAGUCCUAUAAUGUAAAAUAAAAUAUGCAUGCACUUAAUAACUAUAUAACUCACUCAAAGUUGAAGAGGAAGAGUAUUUUUUGUUUUUCUUUUUGGUUCACAAAGAACCUCAUAAGAUUGGUGCAGAUUUCUGUCUCAUGAGCUUCUGUCCACACUGCCCUGCGGAGCCUUGAAAACAAUAUAAGGGUCAACGAACCCAAUACUAUUGUCAUUUCUCAUUCUGAGCUCUCUCAUUUGGUGCCUGCAUAUAUACAUACAAAUCCUAAGUGUGUAAUGAUUAUAUACAUAUAAUUAAAGAAGUUAGAAGUAUAAUAAAAAGAAAAAAAUACUUACAGACAAAAGCAGCUGACAAAAGAUUUGUCGAGAGUGUCGAGGUGACAUAAUUGGUGCAAUUCUUCGAACUGCACGUAUAUAAGGUCAUCUCCACGGAAGUAGUGAUGUUGUCUAAUACGAACUGAAAUCCAAUUUUCUCCCCUUUUAGACGCCUCAAUGCACCAUUUGUUUAUUGCAAACAUUUGUGUGCCGAGCUCGUGUAAACGCUUAGGGUCGAAUAGACUCCUGCUCGGUUCAUAUCUUGCCCUCCAUUGAUCAACUACCUCGGCUUUUUCAAAUGUUUGACAUCCAAGAAUGGCGGCAAUUUCUUCCAUAUUUAAACCGCUCUGUCCAAAGUAACGCUCAAGCGAGUCUAGCUCAGACAACGCUAAGGAUUUCUUUGGCAUCAAGUCUUCAUUUGAGCCGUAUUGAUUUGGCACAAUCAAAGGGGGCACCGGUUUUGAUAUUUCUCCGAGCUGUGGGACCCCCUUUCCUACUCUCUUCUUAGGCUGUGAAGACUUGACCAGAGACCGCUCAUAGUCUCAAAGUGCUGGCUUUUUCUGAGCUUCGCGUUGCUUCUUUUGAUGGUCCGCCACCUUCUGCCUCAGUUCCGAUGGCUUUACAUAAAAGUACGGCUUUUCUGGGUUUUGCCACUUUUUACUAUCCUCCUUCAAUUUAUAAAAAAAUUGUUUGACCUCAGCUUUGGAUGCAGCAAUUAACUCCUCUUCACUCUUUUCAUAAGAUAAUUUUUCUGGCGUCUUAGCUCUCUUUGCUGAGGCAGCCUUCUUUGGAGGUGGGACCGAUGACUUCGGUCCUUCUUGGGCGGACCGCUUCUGACUACCUCGCUUUGGAGGCGAGGGGACCGACCGUGCACUCUUUGGAGAGGGCGGUGCAGGCAGUGGAGGUGGUGGGGCCGAUCUUUUCGGCGUUGGAGAACGCGGUGGAGGAGGUGGAGACCAUGGUGGAGGCGGUGGCGGGGUCGGUGUGGCCGCCGCAGGUGUUGGAGGAGAUCCCGCAUUGUCACCGCCCGCAGCACUAUGAUGCGCUGGGGAGAGAACUGGACUUAGGUUGGAGGAGUCCCUGCAAAGAAAACAAUUACAAGUUUUGUGAGCAAACUUUUUUUUAAUUUCAAUACAUAAUAAAUAAUAUAAGAUGUAAAAUCACACACAAACCUAUGUUGAGGAAUAAUUAUGAAGCGCUUGCGCCAACAAAUAAAUGUCUUCUCAGCUUCACCUAAGGUCUUCUCUCCGUCUCCCCCUUCUAUGUCUAGAGGCACAUUGCCACAACCUUUCUCAACCCUAUCAACCGAGACGCUAGCAUAUCCACUAGGUACUGGUCGAUUAUGGAUUCUUGGAGUUCUCGUUCGGUCGAUAGGGUUGACAACAGCGAUAGCCACCUUUUUUGUUGCAUUUCCAUCUGGUACAUGCAGCUCACAGGUAGCAAAAGCCUCUGUGACAUCAUCCACGGGGAAGUGUAGCUUCGUGUCAUCCUGAAUGGUUGGUACUUCCGUGGAUGCGCAGCUGCUUUUCAACUGGCCUGGGGGGCUAACGUUGACCUCAGGCUGUGAUGUACCUUGCCCUUUCGUCAUUUGACUAAGUGCUGCUUGCACUUGCCUUUGAAUCUCCGCCUGCAUCCAUUCUUCACGAGCUUUCUCGCGCUCUUCUGACUGCAGAACAAAAGCUUCAAGGCGGCGGAUCCGCUCUGCCUCCUCAUCCUUCUUUCUCUGGCGGCUUCUGUACGUAUCUUGAUCGACUUGGAAUGAUUGCAGCCACGGAACUGCCCCAUAGCCUCUCGUACGCCCACCGUGCUCAGGAUUUUCAAGCGCAUAGGUGAGUUCAUCCUUCUCCCUGUUAGGCCUGAACUCACCAGACUGAACCACUUCUCGUGCACGGACUAGUCUAUCUGCUGCUUUAGAUAUUUCUUGGCCCCAAACUAGCACCCCGGUGUCUGGGUCCACGCUUCCCCCAUGACCGUAGAACCAAUGCUUGGAGCGCUCGCUCCAAUUCUUUGCUAUUGUCUCGGGUGUGACCCCCCUAGCAAGCAUCUCCUGUUCCAUUCGGUCCCACUUGAGAACAGCACUCUUAUAACCACCUGAUCCCAUGUGAUGGUGGUAUGUCUUUUUACUUGCAUUCUCUUUGUUUCUAUUGGCUCGUUCCUCGCCCUCUUCUGAUGUUUUGUACUGCACAAAGUCAUCCCAGAAGGCCCUCAGCUUUACAUAUUGCUUGAGGUUGAAAUUUGGAGUCUCGUUUUUCUUGACAUAUUUAUUGUACAAAGUCUUCUUCCAAUUCUGGAAGAGUACUGCCAUCUUCUUUAUAGUCCAGUCAUAAAUUCGCACCUUCAACUCUUCAUCGUUGGUGUCGAAGGUGAAAACGUCUGUGACGGCUUUCCAAACUAACUCCUUGUCACGAUCAGAGACAAAACUGAUCUCAGGAGCACCUCGCUUCUCUCUCCAUUCACGAGCACUGAUCGGUAUUUGAUCUCUCACAAGAUAUCCACAGUGACUAACAUAUUUAUUUGCAUGUUCACCAAGUGGUCUGCCUGUAGCUAUCUCAAACUCAGAGAUUACAUAGCGGACCUCCAACGGCUUCUUUGGCCCUCGUGGAGGUACGCUUCUCCCCGUAGAGGUCGAUCCAGAAGGCUACACGUAGAUAUAGAAACAAAAAUACUAAAUUAAUAACCAAGUAAGUCUAAAACCUAAUGUAAUAGAUGCAUUAAUUAUAUAUGUUUACAUUUACAUACCUUGCCAGUAUUUUCUUCUUGUUGCACGACAAGUUGUUGCUCAGGCGCAUUGCUCUCUUGUUGCUCAGGGGCAUUGCUCUCUUGUUGCUCAGUAGGAUUGCCUUGCGUGAUCUUGUGGUAAUCAAUAAAGUACUGACUACCGUCGUCGAUUAUAUUUUGAAUGGCAUCUUCCAUAUAUUUAGGAUCAUCAUGAGCACGAUCAACCAUUUCUAUGUCUGCAACCAUAUAUAUAUAUAUAUAUAUAUUCUAUAUAAGAUAAGAAAUACACUAGAAUAAUAUAAGUGCUAGAGUGCUCCAAACUAAAAAAUAAUACUAAAAAAAAUAAUAUGAACAAUAACACUAGAAUAAUAUAAGUGCUAGAGUGCUCCAAACUAAAAAGUAAUACUAAAAAAAUAAUACGGACAAUAAUACUAGAAUAAUAUACUAGCACAAUAUAUUUCAUAACAAUUCAAAACACUACAAUUCAUAAUAUACUAGAAUAAUAUACUAAAAAGUCUUUUAAGCCAAGUAAUAUACUAGAAUAAUAUACUAAAAAUAAUACUAAAAAAUAAUACUAGAAUAAUAGUAUAAACAAUAAUAGUAUAUGUUUUAAGCCAAGUAAUAUACUAGAAUAAUAUACUAAAAAAUAAUACUAGAAUAAUAGUAUAAACAAUAAUAGUAUAUGUUUUAAGCCAAGUAAUACACUUGCACCUAGAAUAAUGUACUAAAAAAAUUAAUACUACAAAAUCAUACAAGAAUAAUAUAAGUGCUAGAGUGCUCCAAACUAAAAAAUAAUACUUUAAAAAAUAAUACGUACAAUAAUACUAGAAUAAUAUACUAGCACAAUAUAUUUCAUAACAAUUCAAAACACUACAAUUCAUAAUAUACUAGAAUAACAUACUAAAAAGUCUUUUAAGCCAAGUAAUAUACUAGAAUAAUAUACUAAAAAAUAAUACUAAAAAAUAAUACUAAAAAAUAAUACUAUAAUAAUAGUCUAAACUAAUAGUAUAUGUUUUAAGCCAAGUAAUACACUUGCACCUACAAUAAUAUACUAAAAAUUAAUACUACUACAAAAUGAUACAAGAAUAAUAUAAGUGCAUAUAUAUAUACAUAAUAAUACAAAAUAAUAGUAUAUAAACUGUUGGUAUGAAAUAUAAGUGCAUAUAUAAUGAUACAAAAUAAUAGUACAUAAUUAAGUGCAUAUAAAAUAAUAGUAUAUAUACAUAAUGAUACAAAAUAAUAGUAUAAAAUAAUGAUACAAGAACAAAAUGAUACAAGAAUAAUAGUAUAUAUAUAUAUACAUACAUACAUACACAUACAUAUAUAUAUAUAAGAUAUAUAUAUAUAUAACAUAUUAUUCAUCGAAACUGUUGGUAUUCAUAUAUAUAUACAAUUCAUAUAUACAAUUUUAGUCUAUACAUAUAAACUAUUGGCAUUUAUAUAUAUAUAUAUAGAUCGAUGAAGAAUAUACGUAGGAUCUGGUGGAGAUAGCCGCUGCAGCAGCGCUGGAGAUGAACGGCGGUGCUGGGGAGACGAACGGGCGGCGCUGGAGAUGGCGGCGGCGGCGCUGGAGACGAACGGCGGCGCUGGGGAGACGAACGGGCGGCGCUGGACGGCGGCGGCGGAGCUCUCUGCUCGACGAAGAUGAAGACAAAGGCAACUGCCCAGAUCCAGGGCGCCUGGGGCUUAUAUAGGGGCGGACCCUUUAGCACCGGUUCCAGCCACGGACCGGUGCUAAAGGGUCCUGCGCGCGCUAGGGUGGGCUCCUGAAAUUUUCAGGACUCUUUAGCACCGGUUCCCACUAUGGGCCGGUGCUAAAGGCCUUGUUUUUUAGUUUAGGGUUUUUCAAUUGUUUAUAUAUACAGUUUAUAUUAUAAAUUGUAUAUUAAAUUAAAUAUUGUCCAUAAUAUUUUUUAAACAGUGACAUAUAUUGUAGUUUUUUUUAUGUACACAUGAAAAAUUUUAACCUUAAAUAUCUUACUGUUUUUUUAUAAUUUGCAAUGAUUUUGUAAGAAAUGUUUACUAUUUUGUUAAUGCAAAAAUAUAUUAUUCCAAUAAAUUUACAAAAACUAUAUCCAAUCAACUGGAAAUCUAUUUUCACAUCAUAUUGACGUUAAACUUUUUAUUUUUGUUAUUUAUUACUCGGAAUGCUAGUAGGGUAUUGUUUUCAUCAAAUAAAAAUCUAUUUAUCAUAUAAAAAUAUAUAUCUUGAUGAACACACCCUUUGACCGAACCCUAAAUUGUCCCAAAUGGAAAAGUCAUGAAUACAAAGUUUGUUACACUCAUCAAGUUCUACAUUUUGUCUAAUGGUCAACUUUUCUUUUGGAAAAGUUUGAACCGCUAAAUUUUGAAUUUUCAGAGAAUUCAUGGCCACGCAGUGGUUUUGGAACCCUAGAUGGUCUCGAAUGGAAAAGUCAUGAAUACCAAAAUUGUUCCACUCAUCAAAAUUUACAUUUAAUAUAUAGACCAUUUUUGCAUUUGACAAAGUUUUAGGAAGGUGUAGUGAAAAUCCACAAUUGACACAUAUAGUUUCAUAUAGUUUGUGUGAGUGUUGAUAUUUGGGAACGCAAUAAGGAAUUGAUCCGUAAGCGCACGGAUAUCGGUGAGCACUUCACCCGGGAAAUUAUCCAGAGUAUCGUAUUUAUUUUUUUACCACUAGGAGAAAGAGUGCAUCUGACUAACCGGUCUAUUACUACUAACCCUUUAGGCAACAAAGAAUGUCUCUCGAUGUGAGUGAUAAAUAGAGAAGACUGCAACCGUAGUCUUCUUCUAAACUUGGUAAGGAUGAUCUACUGUUCUAUUAGAGAGGCUAACGGAAUCUAGACACCACAAAGGAUGUUCAACCCGCACCUAUAAACCCUAUCCUUCCUGCUAACGAGAUAUGGUCUGCAAAGGUAACUCGGAAUUGUCACGUUCCUCACUACUACCACGGUCUAGCUAGUCAGGGAAUAUCUAUGAGUACCCCAGCCUAAACACCACGUUUACACCAGCAAUGAUUACUCUAAACUCUACGUGAAGAGAUUAAAGUAAACUCAUAAACCAGAAGAACAAUAAAACAAGAACUUACUAGAAUUUAGAAGUCGAAAUAUUGAAGAAUCCUAGGAGCAAGCUUCGUGUUAGGAGAACUUGAUCCCGUAGGUACAAGCUUGGAGUAGACACCGACAGGCCGAGCUUCCUCCAAUCUACACCUCCACUCUAUCUCUCUCAAUCUAGUAGAAACUAGAAGAUCUAUUUCUACUUUAUAUUGGUUGCUAAGCCUAAAAAGAAAUAUUAAUUAGAGAAGAGGUUUUCCUUUGAGGGCACCCCUCAAUCUGUAUGACAAUUUCUUGUCUUCUCCAGGGGCCAGGGGGGUCUCCUUAUAUAGUCCUUCUCCUUUAUGCGUUUUUGGGUCGGUAGGCGAGGUGGUACUACAUUAUCUUUGAUCCAUUAGGUCGGUGGAACAUCGUGUGCGAAGAGAGUCCCGAACGGGAUCCAGCAGGGGGCGGGCGCCCUGGGCCUGGCCCCUUUCGGCCUCUGCUUCGUUCUCGUGGCUUCUGGAGUGUUCUAGAUGGUAGACAAUCGCGCGGUGCGUUGAUAUCUCUAUGUAAUCCCGACAUGUGGGUCUUUCUUCCUUAUUUCCUGAUAACCCCCUGCAGAAACAGAUAAACAACAAAACUCGUGGAAUUCUGUCAGAUCAAACCCUAAUUCUAGGUGUUGGUUGCAUAUUGGUCCUUUCUCUUGUUUAUCUGAUAAUUAAAAUUGAUACUUAAGAACCGUCAACAAAUACCCCCAUACUUAGGCUUUUACUCGUCCUCGAGAAAAGGAUGGUUAAGAACAAUACUUGGGGUAAAGCAUUCUAAAACAUUCUUUAUAUUUGCAGGGUAUUAGAAUCCACUGUGUACUGUAGUUAGGGAAGUAUAUGAUUAAGAGUAAAGAUUCUUUCUUCUCAAUCCUGUUACUUGGAGUUUUUGUAUAAUUUUGAAAGAAAGCUAGCAUACCUUUUAUCCUCAUAGGUUCUCUCAGAUUACUCAUUAUCUUUUAUAUAUCUCACUGAGGCUGUUUUAAUUUGCAAAAAUUCUUAAGCAUAUUUACUUUGCAUUUAUUGCCUGAUCAAAACGGGAUCCAAGGAGGGGAAUGUCAUACUCUUAGAUCAAAGACUUUGGAAAUUAAAACUUUGUCAAAUCUUGCUGGCAUAUUGCUUAUUAGAGGGACCAUGGGCUAUCAUUUUCUUUUUCUCUCUUUUUUUUAAUGGAUACCGAGGUAUCCCUAAUUCUACUGCCGGACACUUGUCCAUUUUUUCUGCGAGGUUGUCGAGCACUUGCUCCUUUUUAUUUCCUCGAAAUAUCUUUAUUUUUUGCAUAGCCCAUGCCUCUAAUGUAAUAAUACUUCGGAAGAGUGAAUCUUUCUGAAUAAAUGUCUUGAUCUUAGGAGUAUGAUAAAUCUCUCAACAAGGGUCUAACUCAUUUUGAACAAACUCAAUACAGAGUAGAUAGCUUUUAUAAUCAUAAUUAAUAUUUUCAGUUUUAUCAGGCAUAUAAAAUACUGAGGAUGGUAGCUAGAAUUUUGAAGAUUUUGAAAUAAAUUCUCCAAGCAACUCAUACUCUACCAUUACAUAUUCCAUAUUGACUUAAGUAAUACAGGGUUUUAAAAAUGAUUUUCAAUAAUUGCAAGUUUUCAAGAAAUAUCACAGAUUGAGAUUAAUCAUGAUUAGAAAUAUUUUAAUCUUUUUAAUGUAUCAUGUCGGAAACAGUAAUCUGCAUAAUCAAGAUAUGUGAAGUGUAAAGUAAAGUGUGCAGAGUGUGUACCUGAAUCGUGGAGUGGUGUAGUCGAAGUGUGUUUGGCGUGUCGAUGGAUCUCUCCCAUACUUGUUUUCUGCUUUCUUGCACAAAAAUAAAGUAGAGACACACAAGACAUAAUAAUAGUAAUACUCUUUAUUAAUCUUGAGGCAUUUAUUACAAAAGACUAGUAGCAAACUGAUGAUAAUAGUAAACCUAAACCGAAUUUAAAGAUAAAUAACUAAGAUGCAUUGCCUCAAGGUCUAAUCUAGAUAACUUAGCGGCGCUCUAAUUCCUUAAUCUUCUUGUUGGCACUGGCAAGAUCAUGCCUAAGGCCUAGUAUAAUAGUGUUGUGGUUAGAGAGCUGCCUAGUGAGGGAAUUAAUCGAGGACUGGAGGUCUAUGAUAACUCUGUCUAGCAUGCGAAUGUCCUCAUCAAUAUCGACUAUAGUCUUGCGACGCUUGGGAGGUGUCUCAAAAGCACUGAGAGCGUGUUUCGGGGCUGCCUUUGGAGGGAUGAAACGGACUUUGGCUGCUCUAAUCCCUUCAAAGUAAGGCCUCUCCUCCUCCGUAGUGUAGCGAAUACUGCUGAUCUCGCCGCUCCGGUUGGUCUUGACUCCAACGAGACUCUUAUUGGGUCUAGGUGGAAGGAUCCUUGUGCCGGAUGGCACUGGUCUUUGUCUUGGAUGAUGAUCCCUUAAGGAGUAGGGGUUGUGGCGGUGCGGUGAGAACUGGUUGAGCAUGAUAGGAUUGGGCGAAGCUACGUUGGCGUAAUGGCAUGGCUUCUAGCUGUCGCUCUGUGUUGGCCGGGACGAGAGCACGGGCAUCGAGGUCUUCCACAGGCUCCAUGUUGAGGUUGAAGGGGACGACUUCCCAAUCAUUGUGGAACUUCUCGGCCAUUGGAGCAGCAAGGAACUAAUCAAGCUCUAAUUGAAGAAGAAAAGAAGGCUUGAUGGUUUGGUGUUUGAAAACUGAUGUCAGGGGUCUGUUUAUAUAGGGGUCAAAAAGUGUCUCUAUGGGUUGUUCGGGUUGCUCCCGUCGAUGUGCUUGCGAAGCUUUCCAUCUGAGGGAUUAUUCGGAUUACCAUAAGUGCAUUUUCCAUAACAGAGAAAAUCGGGACCGAGGGGGAACAGGAGCUGGGCGCCCGCCCACCUGAUCUGGGCGCCCGCCCUCUCUCUGGCCCCUCUGUGGGUCCACUUCCUCGAGCGCGUUAUUAGAUGCAAAACUAUUUAGAAAAAUAUAUAUAUGACCCAAAAACGUUAGAAUAAAAAGGUCGGGCUUCAAAUUCUCCAUGGGAAGGUGAAAAUGGACUACGUCUAUUUCUUCUAAUUGUUUAUUGGGAUCUAAAAAUAAUUUAAGACGUUGACCAUUUACCUUGAAUAACGUACCUUCGUCAUUUUGAAGUGUGAUAGCUCCGUGGGAUGAUGAAUUAAUUACCUUGAAUGGUCCUUCCCAUUUGCUCCGGAGUUUUCCAUGCCCGAAAAGCUUCACCCUGGAAUUAAAAAGCAAUACCUUAUCUCUGGGUGUGAACUCCUUCUUGUUGAUUCUCUUGUCAUGCCACCUUUUGACUCUUUCUUUGUAGAUCUUUGAAUUGUGAUAUACCUUCUCUCGCCAUUCUUCCAAUUCUGAUAGUUGCAUUCUUCUAUAAUCUCCAGCAACAUCUAGGUCCAUAUUCCAUCUCUUUAUGGCUCAGUGUGCUUUGAACUCUAGUUCAACGGGUAGAUGGCAAGUCUUCCCGUACACCAAUUGGUAUGGAGACAUUCCAAUUGGGGUCUUGUAUGCUGUCCGGUAUGCCCAGAGUGCAUCGGGUAACUUGUCUUUCCACGCCGUUCCCAUUUCAUUUACUGUCUUCUGAAGAAUAUUCUUGAUUUCUUUGUUGGAAGUCUCUGCUUGGCCACUUGUCUGCGGAUGAUAGGGGGUAGCGACGUUGUGACGGAUUCCAUGUUUUGAUAGAUAUUGCUUGAAGCGUUUGUCGAUGAAGUGUGCUCCUCCAUCACUUAUCACUACUCUGGGGACUCCAAAUCUUGGAAAUAUAAUUUCUUCAAACAUCCUCUUUGAACUGACGUUGUCGGCAUGCUUGCAAGGUAAUGCCUCUACCCACUUGGAGACAUAGUCAACUGCCACCAAGAUAUACUCACAAUUUCUUUGAUGGAGGAAAUGGACCCAUGUAGUCUAUUCCCCAGACAUCAAAGAGCUCAAUCUGAAGGUUGUUGGUGAGUGGCAUUGCAUCCCUUGUAUUUAUGUUUCCGUGUCUUCGACAUGGCCCACAUCUUCUGAUAUAAUGCUUCGUAUCUUCAUACAUUGUAGGCCAGUAGAAUCCACACUGCCAGAUCUUUGAAUGUGUGCGGAAUGCUCCAUAGUGACCUCCAUAUGGUGAUGAAUGACAUCUGUCGAUGAUCUUCCAUCCUUCCUCAGUGGUCACACAUCUCCUAAGUAAGCCAUCAGAGCAUACUCGGAAGAGGUAUGGCUCAUCCCAUAUAUGUGAACGACUUUCUUGAAUAAGCUUCUUCUUGUUUGCUCCUGGUGGUACAUACCCUGAAACCAUAAAAUUAACAAUAUCUGCAUACCAGGGGUCAGACCUGUUAAUCCCGUAGAGCAUGUCGUCCCGGAGUGAAUCAUUGAUGGGGGUUUCCUGUGGACUCUUAAAAUACAUUCUAGACAAGUGAUCAACAAUAGAAUUUUCUACUCCCUUUUUAUCUUUUAUUUCUAAGUCAAAUUCUUGGAGUAAUAAGAUCCAUCUAAUCAGGCGAGGUUUAGCAUCUUUUUUAGUGAGCAAAUAUUUUAGUGUAGCAUGAUCAGUGUAAACAAUUAUUUUAGCUCCAACUAAAUAAGAUCUAAAUUUAUCAAUGGCAAAGACAACAGCCAAAAGCUCUUUUUCAGUGGUUGCAUAAUUAAGUUGAGCUCCUAUCAAAGUUUUACUGGCAUAAGCAAUUGCAUGAUGCUUCUUAUUUUUAGUUUGUCCCAAAACUGCCCCCACAGCAUAAUCACUAGCAUCACACAUAAUUUCAAAAGGCAACAACCAAUCAGGGGGUUGAAUGAUUGGUGCAGAGAUGAGUGCUUUCUUUAAUAAAUUAAAAGAUGUUAGACAUGCAUCAUCAAAUUCGAAAGGAGCAUCCUUGGCUAGCAAAAGAGUAAGUGGUCUAGCAAUGAAUGAGAAAUCUUUUAUAAAUCUACGAUAAAAACCAGCAUGGCCAAGAAAGCUUCGAAUUCCUUUUAUAUUCAUAGGUGGAGGUAGUUGUUCAAUUACUUCAAUUUUAGCUUUGUCUACCUCAAUACCUCUUUCAGACACUAAGUGUCCCAGCACUAUUCCUUCUCUAACCAUAAAAUGAUAUUUUUCCCAAUUAAGGACUAAGUGCUUUUCUUCACAUCUUUGCAAAACCUUGUCUAAGUUUUCAAGACAACUAUCAAAAGUUUUUCCAUAAACAGAGAAAUCAUCCAUGAAAACUUCCAUAAUCUCUUCAAUCAUAUCAGAAAAUAUAGACAUCAUGCAUCUUUGAAAAGAAGCUGGUGCAUUACAUAACCUAAAAGACAUUCUACGGUAAGCAUAAGUUCCAUAUGGGCAUGUAAAAGUGGUUUUGCUUUGAUCAUCGGGAUGGAUCGGGAUCUGAUGAUACCCUGAAUAUCCAUCUAAAAAACAGAAGAAUGAAUGGUUCGCUAACCGCUCUAGCAUCUCAUCUAUGAAAGGUAAAGGAAAGUGAUCCUUUCUCGUGGCUUUGUUUAGUUUUCUAUAGUUUAUGCACAUCUGCCAUCCUGUGACGGUGCGUUGCGGAAUUAGCUCGUUCUUUUCAUUCAUAAUAACAGUCAUGCCUCCCUUUUUAGGCACAACUUGAACUGGGCUUACCCACUCACUGUGCGGCACAUGAUAUAUAAUCCCUGCAUGCAGCAACUUUAUAACUUCCUUUUUAACUACCUCUCUCAUAGUGUUAUUAAGUCUACGUUGGGGUUCUCGAGAGGGUGAAACAGAAGGAUCUGUUGGAAUACGAUGGGUACAAAUCAUAGGACUGAUUCCUGUAAGAUCUUGGAGUGAGUAGCCGAAAACUGAGUGAUGUUUCUCAAGAAUGGUCAUUAAUCCCAGAGUUUGCUCCUGAGUGAGUUUAUUGCUAAUGAUCACAGGAAACUCUGGAUUAUUGUUUAGGAAAGCAUAGGUAAGACCGGGUGGUAAAGUUUUAAGCUCUAUGGGGGGUCUAGUUGUUUCUGCAAACUCAUCUAAAGGUUCAGGUUCAGAAGGUUCGGUUUCUUCUUCUAUGAAGAAAGGAGUUUCGUCUUCUAAGUCUGAUUCUUCUAAAAGCUCUAGAGAUGCAGCCUUUACCUCCUCCAUAGGAUCAGGCAAAAGAUAUGAUUCGGCCUUAUUGUUUAAGGAGUGUGAAAUUGUUAUUGGGAAUUUAAAGGCUUUUCCAAAAGAAAUGUGUAGCUUUCCAGUAUGACCUUCAUAAAGGAGUCUUCUAAAAGGUUGUCCUAUCAACAGGUCGAAGUCCCAUGUAUCAAAGAUAUAGAAGUUCAAAUGAACCAUGGAGCCUUCUACCGUAAGAGGUAGGACAUUAAUAAUUCCAAGACUGGGGACUAAUCGUCCCGAAGAUUCCUUUAUGACCUUUGUUGUGGGGGUUAAGACAAGAUUUUUAAAUAGUUUAAGUGCAAAAGAUUUAGACAUGAUGUUGAUGCCCACAACAGGAUUAUAAAGAGCAUUAAAUCGAUCAGAAUUAUAAGCACAGCGUAUAGUUAUAGAGGGUGUGUCCAAACGGAUCAUAUCAGAGGAAAGCUCUGAUUCCUCCAACCAUUCGCUACUCAUGACUGAGAUAAGCUCUCUCAAUUGAUAUUCACUUGGCAAAUAAAUGCUAAACUGGCCGUUUUGGGGUUUGUCAAUAGAAUGGUAGUUUGAAAUGUUUCGAAAAUCGGCAAAAAGAUCGGAUUCUAUAUCCAGCAUGAAGUCCGGUGGUGGAAUUUCUUCCUCUUGUGGCUCAGAACUUGGGAUAGCUAAAGUAGAUGAAGAAUUUGGCAGAGUGUCUACUUCGGCUUCGUAGGUUUCAUCAUGAAGGGUAUUAUCCAUCUCAGCUUCUAGGAUUCUAUCUAGGAUCACUCUAGCUUCAUCAGUAGGGAUGCGAAAGAAAGAACCUCUAGACAUUGUGUGUAGCAUUUGUUUGUGAUUUUUCUGAAGACUUCGAAAAAAGUGAAAUAAAAGAACAGGGUCUUCAAGAUUAAGGUUUGGACCAGAUUCUAAAAGAUCAGAAAAACGUUUCCAGGAUUUUCCCAAAGUUUCAUUAUCUUUUUGUUUAAAAGAUAGGACUUCGAGUCUAAGGUCGGCUAUACGGUCAAGAGAAUAGAAAUCUAGACAAAAGUUAGCUCGUAAAACUCCCCAUUCACCUCGUUGUUGACUUACCUUCUGACUGUACCAUUGUCUAGCUUCUCCCCUUAAGGAAAAAGGAAAAAGCUUCCAAUGUAAAGUUUUAUCAGAUAUGCCUUCAAUGCGAAGACAAUCACAUGUUUGCUCAAAAUCUCUAAUAUGAAGGUAAGGGUUUUCGUCUUCCUUUCCCGAAAAAGAUAGGAUUUGAAUCAUGGCAAUCAACCUAGAACUUAACUUAUACUGGGAUGUUUGGAUAGGUUGUGAUGACUCCCAUGGUAAAAGGUCAGUUACUGAAAGGAUUGCAGACUCAUGGAUUGAUUUAGAAUUUUGGUUUUCCAUAAGGUAAGAGUAAAGAAAAUAAAUAAAGAAUAUAAAAGAUAAGAAAAGAUAAAAGUAUAGAUACAAGCUAGUAGUAAGACUCAAGGUUAUCUCAGCAAACUGUCUUUCUCCCCGGCAACGGUGCCAUAAAUGCUUGUUGAUAUUUGGGAACGCAAUAAGGAAUUGAUCCGCAAGCGCACGGAUAUCGGUGAGCACUUCACCCGGGAAAUUAUCCAGAGUAUCGUAUUUAUUUUUUUUACCACUAGGAGAAAGAGUGCAUCUGACUAACCGGUCUAUUACUACUAACCCUUGAGGCAACAAAGGAUGUCUCUCGAUGUGAGUGAUAAAUAGAGAAGACUGCAACCGUAGUCUUCUUCUAACCUUGGUAAGGAUGAUCUACUGUUCUAUUGGGGAGGCUAACGGAAUCUAGACACCAUAAAGGAUGUUCAACCCGCACCUAUAAACCCUAUCCUUCCUGCUAACGAGAUAUGGUGUGCAAAGGUAACUCGGAAUUGUCACGUUCCUCGCUACUACCACGGUCUAGCUAGUCAGGGAAUAUCUAUGAGUACCCCAGCCUAAACACCACGUUUACGCCAGCAAUGAUUACUCUAAACUCUACGCGAAGAGAUUAAAGUAAACUCAUAAACCAGAAGAACAAUAAAACAAGAACUUACUAGAAUUUAGAAGUCGAAAUACUGAAGAAUCCUAGGAGCAAGCUUCGGGUUAGGAGAACUUGAUCCCGUAGGUACAAGCUUAGAGUAGACACCGACAGGCCGGGCUUCCUCCAAUCUACACCUCCACUCUAUCUCUCUCAAUCUAGUAGAAACUAGAAGAUCUAUUUCUACUUUACAUUGGUUGCUAAGCCUAAAAAGAAAUAUUAAUUAGAGAAGAGGUUUUCCUUCGAGGGCACCCCUCAAUCUGUAUGACAAUUUCUUGUCUUCUCCAGGGGCCAGGGGGUCUCCUUAUAUAGUCCUUCUCCUCUAUGCGUUUUUGGGUCGGUAGGCGAGGUGGUACUACAUUAUCUUUGAUCCAUUAGGUCGGUGGAACAUCGUGUGUGAAGAGAGUCCCGAACGGGAUCCAGCAGGGGGCGGGCGCCCUGGGCCUGGCCCCUUUCGGCCUCUGCUUCGUUCUCGUGGCUUCUAGAGUCUUCUAGAUGGUAGAAAAUCGUGCGGUGCGUUGAUAUCUCUAUGUAAUCCCGACAUGUGGGCCUUUCUUCCUUAUUUCCUGAUAACCCCCUGCAGAAAUAGAUAAACAACAAAACACGUGGAAUUCUGUUAGAGCAAACCCUAAUUCUAGGUGUUGGUUGCAUAUUGGUCCUUUCUCUUGUUUAUCUGAUAAUUAAAAUUGAUACUUAAGAACCGUCAACAGUGAGAUUCAAGAAUUGGUGGGUAUUGUUAACUUAAACUUUCUCAAAUGGAAAAGUUGUGUAUAUAAAAAGUUUAGAUCUUGAUGAUAUCUAACAACUUGGUAUUCAUAAUUUUUUCAUUUUAAGUAAUUUAGUUUGUCAUUUGACCAAGUUUGACCAAAACCCGUCUUGGAUUUUAUAGAAAUGUGAUUAGGAUUGGCAAAAAAUUAUCCAAAUGGAAAAAUGGACAAUAUAUAAAAUGUAGAUCUUGAUGAUCUCUAACAACUUUGUAUUCAAAAUUUUUUCAUUUGAAGUCAUCAAAUGGGCCAUUUGAUCAAGUUUGACCAAAGUCAAAGCAUUGGUUUUUACAAAAACACUCUUUGACCGAACCCUAAAUUGUCCCAAAUGGAAAAGUCAUGAAUACAAAGUUUGUUACACUCAUCAAGUUCUACAUUUUGUCCAAUGGUCAACUUUUCUUUUGGAAAAGUUUGAACCACUAAAUUUUGAAUUUUCAGAGAAUUCAUGGCCACGCAGCGGUUUUGGAACCCUAGAUGGUUUUGAAUGGAAAAGUCAUGAAUACCAAUAUUGUUCCACUCAUCAAAAUCUACAUUUAAUAUAUAGACCACUUUUGCAUUUGACAAAGUUUUAGGAAGGUGUAGUCGAAAAUCCACAAUUGACACAUAUAGUUUCAUAUAGUUUGUGUGAGAUUCAAGAAUUGGUGGGUAUUGUUAACUUAAACUUUCUCAAAUGGAAAUGUUGUGUAUAUAAAAAGUUUAGAUCUUGAUGAUAUCUAACAACUUGGUAUUCAAAAUGUUUUCAUUUUAAGUAAUUUAGUUUGUCAUUUGACCAAGUUUGACCAAAACCCGUCUUGGAUUUUAUAGAAAUGUGAUUAGGAUUGGCUAAAAAUUAUCCAAAUGGAAAAAUGGACAAUAUAUAAAAUGUAGAUCUUGAUGAUCUCUAACAACUUUGUAUUCAAAAUUUUUUCAUUUGAAGUCAUCAAAUGGGCCAUUUGAUCAAGUUUGACCAAAGUCAAAGCAUUGGUUUUUACAAAAACACUCUUUGAUCGAACUCUAGAUUGUCCCAAAUGGAAAAGUCAUGAAUACAAAGUUUGUUACACUCAUCAAGUUCUACAUUUUAUCUAAUGGUCAACUUUUCUUUUGGAAAAGUUUGAACCACUAAAUUUUGAAUUUUCAGAGAAUUCAUGGCCACGCAACGGUUUUGGAACCCUAGAUGGUCUCGAAUGGAAAAGUCAUGAAUACCAAUAUUGUUCCACUCAUCAAAAUCUACAUUUAAUAUAUAGACCACUUUUGAAUUUGACAAAGUUUUAGGAAGGUGUAGUUGAAAAUCCACAAUUGACACAUAUAGUUUCAUAUAGUUUGUGUGAGAUUCAAGAAUUGGUGGGUAUUGUUAACUUAAACUUUCUCAAAUGAAAAAGUUGUGUAUAUAAAAAGUUUAGAUCUUGAUGAUAUCUAACAACUUGGUAUUCAAAAUUUUUUCAUUUUAAGUAAUUUAGUUUGUCAUUUGACCAAGUUUGACCAAAACCCGUGUGGGAUUUUAUAGAAAUGUGAUUAGGAUUGGCUAAAAAUUAUCCAAAUGGAAAAUAGACAAUAUAUAAAAUGUAGAUCUUGAUGAUCUCUAACAACUUUGUAUUCAAAAUUUUUUCAUUUGAAGUCAUCAAAUGGGCCAUUUGAUCAAGUUUGACCAAACUCAAAGCAUUGGUUUUUACAAAAACACUCUUUGACCGAACUCUAGAUUGUCCCAAAUGGAAAAGUCAUGAAUACAAAGUUUGUUACACUCAUCAAAAUUCACAAUUCUCAAAUACAGUUUCAUACAAAGUUUGUUACGGUCCACUAUUGUUAAGGUCCACUGUUGUCAUCCCAUACUCCUUGUCGACUGUUACCCCACCUCCGGUCAUCUUCACCAAUUGACACCGGAACAAAGGAACUUUAAAAUUAGCUGCAUAGACUAGUUCCCAUAUGUCUUCUAUGCGUCCAUAAUAUGUUUGUCUGUUCCCAUUUGGAUCUGUGGCAUCCACGCGUACACCACUAUUUUGGUUGGUGCUCCUUUUAUCUUGGCCAACUGUCUAAAAUGUGUUACCAUUUAUCUCGUACCCUUUGUACGUGAGGACAUGCCAUGAUGGUUGCCUGGCCAACAAAUAAAGCUGCUCAUUAAUGUUUUCAUCACCUUGACAUUUUUUGUGCAACCAAACGCCAAAAGUUUCCAUGUGGUGACGCAUUAUCCAAGCUUCAUUCUUCCCGGGCCACUGGGACCGUAGGAAAUCUUUGUGUACCUCAACAUAUGGUUCCACCAAUGAGGAGUUCUGGAGAACUGUGUAGUGUGCUUUAUUGAAGUAAUCGUCUCCCAUACCAAUGUAUGUUUUCUUCCCAAGUGUUCCCUUUCCACUGAGUCUGCCCUCGUGUCGAGAUUCAGGAAUGCCAAUUGGGUCAAGGUCUGGAAUAAAGUUAACACAGAUCUCUAUGACCUCCUCUGUUUCGUAGCCCUUGGCAAUGCUUCCUUCUGGCCGGGAAUGACUAUGGACAUAUUUCUUUAGAACAUGUUGUGUAGGAACACAGGACCGAGAAUAUGAAUCUCUUUGACGAGAUGAACUAGGAGGUGUUUCAUGAUAUCGAAGAAGGAUGGAGGGAACACCAACUCAAAGCUGACGAGACAUUGAACGACAUCAUUCUGCAGAGUAGCUAGUUGCUCUGGAUUGAUUGCCUUCUGAGAAAUUGCAUUGAGUAAUGCACAUAGCUUUAUGGUGGCUAGACGUACGUGUGGAGGUAAAAUUCCUCUUAAAACGACCGGCAGCAAUUGCGUCAUUAGAACGUGACAGUCAUGGGACUUCAAGUUCAGGAAUUUCUUCUCUGGCACAUUAAUUAUUCCCUUGAUAUUGGAGGAGAAUCCAGAUGGGACCUUGAUGCUGCUAAGACAUUCAAACAUGCUUUCCUUCUCUUCUUUGCUCAGAGUGUAGCUAGCAGGGCUUAAGUAAUGACGUCCAUCAUCUGUCUUUUCUGGAUGCAGGUUGUCUCGUUCUUUCAUGUGCUGCAAGUCUUGUCAUGCUUCAAGUGAAUCCUUAGACUUCCCGUAGACACCCAUGAAUCCGAGCAAGUUCACACAAAGAUUCUUUGUCAGGUGCAUCACGUCGAUCGCGUUGCGGACCUCUAGGACAUUCCAGUAAGGUAGCUCCCAAAAUAUGGAUUUCUUCUUCCACAUGGGUAUGUGUCCCUUAGCAUCCUUGGGAAUAGGUUCGCUGCCUCGUCCCUUUCCAAAUACCACUUUUAUAUCCUUGACCAUUUUGAGUACAUCAUCCCCGGUUCGAUUGAGAGGUUUGGUCCGGUGGUCUGCCUUGCCUUUAAAAUGCUUGCCUUUCUUUCGUACUGGGUGGCUCACAGGAAGAAACCGACGGUGGCCAAGGUACACGACCUUUCGACAUUUUUUCAAAAAUACAUAGUCAAGGUCUUCAUAACAAUGUGUGCAUGAAAGAUUACUCAGAGCUGGCCAAUCAUUGAUUGUUAUAAACAGCAAUGCUCGCAGGUCAAAGUGCUCUUGUUUGUACUCAUCCCACACACGAACUCCUGGUUUGCUCCAUAAAAGUUGAAGUUCCUCAACUAAUGGCCUUAGGUAGACAUCUAUGUCAUUGCCAGGUUGCUUCGGUCCUUGGAUAAGCACCGGCAUCAUAAUAAACUUCCGCUUCAUGCAUAGCCAUGGAGGAAGGUUGUAGAUACAUAGAGUAACUGGCCAAGUGCUGUGACUACUGCUCUGCUCACCGAAAGGAUUCAUACCAUCUGUACUUAAGGCGAACCGCAAGUUUCUAGCAUCAUCUGCAAAAUCUGGGAAUUCUCUGUCUAUCGCUCUCCACUGGGAUCCAUCGGCAGGGUGUCUCAGCAUAUUGUCUAUCUUACGGUCUUCUUUAUGCCACCGCAACAACUUUGCAUUGUCCUUAUUUCUGAACAGACGUUUUAAUCAUGGUAUUAUAGGAGCAUACCACAUAACCUUGGCAGGAAUUUUCUUCCUAUGACGUUCUUCACCCUCAACAUCGCCAUGAUCAUCUCGUCUAAUCUUAUACCGUGAUGCCUUACAUACUGGACAUGCAUCCAAAUUCUCGUAUUCCUCCCCACGGUAGAGGAUGCAGUCAUUAGGACAUGCGUGUAUCUUCUGGAUUUCUAAUCCCAAAGGGCAGACAACCUGUUUUGCUUCAUACGUAGUGGUGGGCAAUUCGUUGCCUUUCGGAAGCAUCUUUUUUAUGAUCUUCAAUAACUGCCCAAAUGCCUUGUCAGAUGUACCAUUCUUUGCCUUCCAUUGCAGCAAUUCUAGUGUGGUACCCAGCUUUUUUUGCCCCUCUUCAGCGGUGGGAUAUAGCGAUUUCCUGUGGUCCUCUAGCAUGCGCUCGAACUUGGCUUUCUCUUUAUCACUUUCACAUUCUCUUUGUGCAUCACGGAUGACAUCACCAAAAGCAUCAUCGCCCCGAUCAUCUUCUGCCGCUACCUCUUCUUCAUUAUCUCCCCCCAUUGCAACAUCAUUGAAGCCACCGUACUGAGCAAUAAUAUUGGCAUGGUCCAAUUCUUCUUCUUUUUCUUCACCUUCAUCUAUUAUAAUCCCGCUUUCUCUAUGUUUGGUCUAACAAAUAUAGUUUGGUACGAAACCAAACUUUAAUAAGUGUGAAUGAAGAGUUCUUGAGUUAGAAUAUUCCGUCAAAUUCUUGCACACGGCACAUGGACAGCACAUGAAACCAUCCCUCUUAUUUGUCUCGGCCACUUAAGAAAUAGUGCACGCCAUUAAUGAACUAUUCGGAGCGCCGAUCGGCAUUAUACAUCCAAUUACGUGUUACCAUCUGCAUUAAAUAUAACAUAUAUAUUAUGAAAUCCAUGCACACAUAUAGUUUCUCAUCUUAUUGCACAACAUGUCUAAGAUACAUAGUUGAUUAAUUUAGGAAAGCUUUGGCUACAACAAAUACAAUCGCAACUAGAACUAAAAAACCAAAACUAAAAUGCACUUAAGCAACAUAAUUAGUUCGCGUCCGAUCCCAACUAUAAUAGAUAGAUCAUUCGCUUGAUCAACAUCAUUGAACUCCUUUCGUCGGCUCACUGCCUCACCACCUUCAGCCUCAACCAUCUGUGCAAAUGAUUUCUUAAUGUGUUCAAUGUAUUCUUCCUCCCAGUACCAACCUGUACAUCCACCGGUACCGUCCCACUAAAAUUAAAAGAGAGAAUCAAAAGUUUAAUUAAUAUCAUUUAAAAAAAAAUAUGCACAUAUAUAAGCAAAUGUCUGGAAAUAACUCACAUUACGAUCCGGACACUUGUAGAAUAUACGACCCUUGUUUACUCCCUCUUUCGACACUUUGUACUCCAUCAAAAUCUUCUGCCCACACUUGCCACAAGAAAUGAGAGGGAGUUCCGGACGGUAUCGCUUUUGAACCCGUUGAGAGACCGAAGACCCGGUCACGGUUGCCAUCUACUAUCCAUACUCAAUUUUUAAACAAUUAUAAAUUCCACAUUUACUAGUAAACAUGUAUGAUUAAAGAAGAACCUAAUAAUAUCCUUUAUUUGUCUAGUUACUUGAACAAAUCUUCUAAAUUAUACAAUGGACAUUAUGUAGUAAUAAAAAUAAAUCAAGUGAUAUUAACAAACCAAUUAAUUUGAACUAUCCUACUUUCUAAGAUCAUAAAAAGAUACUAUAAUUCAUUCUUGCAAACUACAUUAAUACUAGGUCAACCAUGAAAUAUGAUAUAUAUAUAUAUAUGGAUACUAAUUCAUGUGAAUGAUUCAAAAUAACAACGUGGAUUUGAGCUAAAAAUAAUGGGAACAUCACAAGCCAAAAACAACAUGAAAAAGACAAGAAAGACAAAAGUUAGUCACCUCCAAACACGAAGAAACGAUGACGGAGUCGAAGAAGAUCAACAAUGGGGGUCGGAGAUGAAGAACAAAUGAGGAAGAAGAAGCUCCAAGAACAACAAUGGUGAAUGGUGCUCUCGGUUUCAAAUGGGCAGAGAGGAGGAGUGAUCCAGCCUAUAAGCCUAUAAACCGGUUCAGGGACAAAUCCGGUGCUAAAGGCUUUGCCUCGGCCUGUGGCGCUGGCCGGUGCUAAAGGGGACCCUUUAGCACCGGUUGGUAACACGAACCGGUGCUAAAGGGUCUCUGCCCCGACAGCACCUGUCAGUAGCCGUUGGGCAGGACCCUUUAGCACCGGUUCGUGUUACGAACCGGUGUUAAAGGGGUCUUUAACCCCGGGCCGUAAAAAGGCCGAGGUUUUUGGCCAUUUUGGGCAUCGACCAAUGCCUCAUUCUGUAGUAGUGGAAGACAAAAACCGCAUGGCUGGGGGCGGCGGUGUUGGGUAUUUUAAACGCAAACAGAAAAAUCCGCAAGCGCACAGAUACCGAUGUAGCUUUCACCCGGGAGUAUUCCAGAGUAUCGAUUUUCCACAGAGAACGUGAGUGUACUAAUUAAGACCCAAGAUCGCCCAAGGAUAACUAUAUAAUUGUUUUUGGUGGGAAGAGAGGAAGUUUCCUGAGAGUUCUCUAGUUGAUCUAAGAAUCAAGAAUUACUUCAAGAUUAUCUAUUUCGGGACAUCAGAGCACUAACCACGGAAAGAGAUGAGAAGGGGGCUAGGAAGGUCUGACUACGGUCCUACAAACACCGAUCCGAACGUGGUGGAAUACGUCGACCGUUAGGGCUGUCACUACCCUAGGGCUACCACAACAAUCCGUAGGAUUGGGUGCAAUUCCAGGUAAUCACAAGACUAAACACCACGUCUAAUCUAUUAAUUACUACUCUAAUGUUUCAAAGACUAGAGCACUUGAUGCAAGCGGGAAUCCAAUAAAUAACUUGAAUGUAAAUAAAAGCAAUUAGAGAACUCAGGAGUUAUGAGUUGAAGAACCUGGAGAACGAUGAAGAAUGAACCAGAUGCUGCAAAAGUACAAUGUUGAGGAAGAUCCGACAGAUCCGGCUCCUCCUCCGCUCUCCUCUUCUCUCCCCCUAUUUUCUAGAUUACAACUAGAACUAACUAGAACUAGAACUAGAGGAACUAGAACUAGAACUAGAUGAACUAGAACUAGAUCUAGAUGAACUAGAGGUAGAACUAGAAGAACUAGAGGGAUCCUCUCUACUUGGAUGAAGAAUUGAAACCCUAACUUUGAUUCUGUAGAAGAGGUAUGAUCUCCAGGGGCCAGGAGGCCUUGCUUAUAUAGUCUUUUCAGAUGAAUCUGGGCCGUCGGAUCAAACCGACAUUGGUCGUGUGGUUUUUCUUGAAGUAUUAGGUCGGUGGAGCAUGAUCCGCGAAACGUGUCCUGAUUGGGCACUGUAGCUGGGCGGGCGCCCAGGAGAGUUGGGCGGGCGCCCUGCCUCCGAGCCCGAUUUCCUUCCCGUUCGUUCCCGUGGCUUCUAGAGUCUUCUAGAUAAUAGACCCGACGUGUGGGCCUUUCUUCCGUAUUUCCUGAUAACCCCCUGUAGAAAUAGACAAACACCAAAACUUGUAGAAUUCUGUCAGAUAAAACCCUAAGUCUAGGUGUUGGUUGCAUUUAGAUCCUUUUCCAUGAUUAAUUGAUGGUUAAAUAUGAGCAUUAAGGACCGUCAACAAGCUCCCCCAAGCUUAACCUUUGCUCGUCCCUGAGCAAAGAUGAACUCAAGAGUUUCUGCAGUGGUUUCAUAACUUAAAGAUACACAUGCGUUUAAACAAGAUCUCAUCUCUGGUUAGAGUAAACUGUUAAGACUUAAAACUUACUCAUUUACCUUUCACCAUGGGACUUGUAACCGUCACUUCUGUCUUGAGUAGUUAAAAGAUAGAACAGUCUAGUCAAGCGCCAUGUCUCUUGUUCUUCGAUUAACUAUAGCUCUGGAGUUUUUGCAGAUUUUCAAAUAAAACUCAGAGAUUCCUUGUAUGACUCUCUCUAGUCUCUUUUUUGUGGUAUUUCUGGAUGCUUACCAAGGCAGUAAUGGUGUAUACCUUCUCUCAAAGUAUGUGGUAUUUUUGGUAUGAGGCAUAGUGACAUUGCCUUCUCUCUCACCCUACUCUAAUAAGGCUUUUGAUAUCUGGAGCUCAUAGGUGCGAGACAGCUAAUACAUACUUACAAGACAUUUAUUGCAUAGUCAAACCAUGGAUCCAGAAGAACAAGUCAAUAAGUCAAAUCAAGAUGUGCAUGUGUGGCGAAUGAAUGGUGUAUGGUGAUGAUGGUGAUAACGAUGGUGAAAGUCUAAUUCUACUUAUGCUCUUUUGAGGGGAUACAUACCUUUCUUGCUCUUUUGAAACUUUUUGAGGAGAAUGAGAUGCUCUAUAUUUUCUUUUUCUUUCCUCUCAGGUGGGUAUCUUGUACCCCUAAUUCUACUGUCGGACACUUGUCCAUUUUUACCUCUCGUCUCACUUUUUUCUUUCUUUCGAGGUUCCGGGCACUUGCCCCUUUUUAUUUCCUCGUAUUUUUUUUCUAUUUUUUUUAGAGCACUCAUCUCUUGAAAUAAUGUAGCAAGUGGUAGUAACCAAGAUAACUUGAGCAUUUAUUUCACAAGGGAAAAACAGAAAUGUUUUUGGCUAUUCUCUCCCGGAUUAGGAGUAGAAUAUUUUUGGGUGGUUCUAGAGAUGGAAAUGGAUGGAUAUAUGUGGAUGCGUACUUCCAGAGUAGAAGCAACAUGUGUGAGUGAACGUGCAAGUGAAUCUUGAUUUAACCACAUGAGAAGCUCCUAAGGGUCUACAUAGCUUGACCACACUCAAUGCUCAUAAGCAGUAAAAAGUAAAUGUGUGGCUCAUAGUCUAACAAGCAUGUAUGUAUGGCUGUGGUAGGAAUUUAAACUCUCAUCAUACAGGAACUCAUCAUGUGUUAUUUUAAAGAUUUUCAAAGAUGAAAUUCUCCAGAAUUCUAGCAUCUCUAGGAACAGAUAAACAGCAGCUCAACCUUCCCAUAUCGUAUCCGUUAACGACUUAGACUUUAGAUCAAGUACUCUCCCCACAAGUUCAGGUUUAGAGCAAAUCUUAAUUAAUAACAGUCAUGCCUAAACUUGAGAGAGAUUUCAAUUUUGAGAACUAGUCAUGGCAGAGCAACUAUUCAUCAUUUCCAUGUGAGAGCUUAUCAUGAGGGUUCAUAGCUAACUUUAUUUAUUUAUUUAUUUAGCAAACUAAGCAAAGAUAUCUAAGCACAAAAUCUUUAUUUGGGUUUUUAUGAUUAUGCAUCUUUUUAUUAUUUGAGUAAAGUAUAAAUGUGAGUAAAAUACUUAGCUAGAUAAAUGGGGGUGCUCUCCCCCAAGCUGGAUUUUGACGCAAUUUCUUCUAAUGUAGCUAGCAGGCGGCGGAGGUGUAUUUGAAUGUUGGCAGCACCCUGACAGUGAUUAGGAUGUCCUCCGUCUGCUAGUCUUCUUUGAUCCUUGAAUUCUGUGGAGCUCAAAUAGACAACAAAGCUUUGUGGAACUGGUUAAGUGUUAGCAUAAAUAUCUAGCCUUUAUCAUGUUGAGCCUCCUCAAUAAAUGUUACUCUCUUUAGUAGGAUCAUAAAUUUAUUUUUAUAAUUUUAUAUUUAUAGGACAGGAAUAUAUUUAUUUUAUUUUUAUGCCACCACAGUGAAUGUACUUAUGGGUUUUAUGUCAUGAGCAUACUCACAUGGGGCUUACUAUUUUUAACAUUUUUAUUUUCUUUCCAAGAUGAUAUGAACCUGAUUAACUAAGCAAACUAUUUUAAAUAAUUAAAAGGAAAAAGAUAACUACCAAGUUUACCUCUUGGCAAGGCGUUCGGUGUUUUUAAGUCCUCCGAACGGGACUCUCUGCUUUCUCAGUCGUCCUGGGAUUCGCUAGAUGGCGUAGUCAGUGGUUCCGGCGGUGCCUCCUCUUCAUGUAUAACUAUCUUCUCUCUGCACACCUGACUCGGUGCUACGGUCUCCUCAGGACAGUUCUGUUCAAGUUGUUUGUCUUCAGACCUUACCACUUCUCCUUCGUAGUCUGCCCAUCCAUCUUUGAUGAUUUGCCUCCUCUGGUUGCGGUUGCGUCGUCUUCUUCUUGUCCGGACCUGCUUAGAGUCUUCAACUAUAUAGUUAGGGUCAGUUAAAUAGCGGCGUACCUUCUCAGAGGGGAAGUUCAUGUGGAUUUCUCCGGUUCCAAUGUAGAUGAUUGCUUUAACGGUGCUGAGGAACGGUCUUCCAAGGAUGACGGGUGGAUUGUGCUCGUCUUCUCCCAUGUCAAUAACCUUCAAUCUUUCAGAAUGUCUGGAGCUGAAAGUAUGUUGGUUGUAGGAACAUGGUUCCAUGCAGGAGCUGAUAAGUGACUGCGGCCAUUAUGUUGACGUUAGAUCCGGUGUCGUAGAGUGUCUUCUGAAAAGAAUAUCCGUUGAUUGUGCACUCGAUGAUUGGAACACUAGGGUCGUCCUUCUUGAUCAAGAAAGGCGACUUGAGUUGACGAUCUUGACCUCCUUGAGCUGCAGUGACCAUCUUAGCUGACUCAGUCCACAUUUGCUUGUUCCUGUUCCCCCUGUUGAUCAUCUCCCUUGGUUUAUGUCAGGAAUGCUCUGAGAUUUGUGUAGUCUUGUUUUUGAAGGAAAACGUCUCCUUCCUCCCCUUGAUGUAGAAACUAAUCUUGGCAGCACUAGCGUAGAUGACAGCUCCCGAGGUGUUCAGGAAUGGCCUCCCUAGGAUGAUGGGUGCCCUCUCAUCAGUAUCAGUCUCUAUCACCACGAAGUCUGCUGGAGCGUAUAAGGUACAAACUCGGACGUAGAGGUUCUUCAAUAUUCCCUUUGGGAAACUUAGCGUAUGAUCUGCAAGCUGCAAACACAUGGCUGUCUCUAAUAAAGGAUGUG